RNAcentral lists this long non-coding RNA (82650 nucleotides) under Ananas comosus (pineapple). RNAcentral describes it as "long non-coding RNA (ACOM_LNC017167)". The record is from RNAcentral. Lineage: Eukaryota; Viridiplantae; Streptophyta; Magnoliopsida; Poales; Bromeliaceae.
AAAUUAAUUUUAUACAAAUUUCUACUUCUUUAGAAUAAUUUUACAUAAACUUUUUGUUGGCUCGAUAUUUUUUUUUCCCGCUAAAAAAUAGGUCUAUCGACAUACUCAAAUUUGAAAUACGUGUUUUUAUAUAUAGUAUAGAUAUAUAAUAUUUAUAAAUAUAAUAUAUUUUAAUUUUAUAUAAGAUUUAAUUUAAUUUGGGCCAUUAUUGUUGGCCCAUAAAAUAAACCCAACAAGUACAACCGUGCAAUUGAGCCCAACUCUAAAUUUACAUAACACACUAUCUCUUUCAGACUUUUACUAUUACACAUAAUCCUAAAACAUGAUAACAUUCAAAUUUUCAAAUCUCUAAUUUUUUUCCCCUCUCUUUCUCUCUCUCUCUCUCUCUCUCUCUCUCUCUCUCUUUCUCUCCCUCAGACCCUCACCCAGUCAGGCAGUCACCCUAGCUCACAUUUCUUGCAAUUAUUUUGUAUUUGGAACUAUUGGACGUAUUGCAUCAAAUUGUAGAUAAUAUUAUAUAAAAAUUAAACUAUUGAUUAUAUAAUGUCGAGAAUUUCAAUCGGCUCGUUUAGAGCUCGAGCUCGGCUCGACUCGAAAUUAGGCUCGCUUGAGCUCGGCUCGAAUUAAUUUCAAGCCGAGCUUGAGCCUAGAUUUAGGCUCGAAAUUAAUUUCAAGCCGAAUUUGAGCUGAUAUAAGCUCGCUCGAGCUCGGCUCGUUUCCACCCCUAAUUGCACUUCUAGUCCCUAAAGUUUGAAUGAAAGUUUUAUUUUGGUAUUCAAACUUCUGAUUUCGGUAUUCGAAAUCCUGAACUUUGAGUAGUAUAUGUCACUUUAGUCCCUAAACUUUUAAAAGGCAUUUCAUUUUCGGUCCUUAACUCUGAUUAAUAAUUAUUGCUUAUACCUAAUUUAUCUAUUUUCUCACUGAAAAUAAAUUUACUGUUUUUUCAUCCAUCUUUUACUUUUUAAUUCAGUAAUCUAAUUUUUUAUAUUAAGAAAAGUGAAGCUCAAUAGGUAGUAGGAUUGAAAUAUGCGCGAAAAAAAUAGCCAAUAAAUGCAUGAUGAAUAGAUGAAUAGAUGCACUUGGUGCAGCCAAUAAUUUAUCCUUAUUAUUGGCUGAAAUUAAAACUUUUUUUUCGUUGUAGACUUUCCUUUUUUAUUUUUAUUUUUUUUUACUGUUUUAAGAGUUGAAGGGACCACUGAUGCCAAAUUUAAAAAUUUGAGGACCAAAAUGAAACUUGGCUAAAAGUUUGGGACUAGUGAUGCAAUUUAUCUUUAUCAAUUUUGAACAGGAAAGCAAAAAGAGCGAAUCUGGGAGCGGGAGGGGUCCGACCUCUGACUCUGUUUUUUGUUUGGCCGGGUCAGAUUUACGGCGGGCGGGCUAAUUUUAAUUCUAUUUUUGGCCCUCUCUUACCACUCCAUUCAAGAAGACGAGAAUAACUGUUUGGCGAAUUUUUAGCUGAUCGGAAUGAAUUAAAUGAAGAAAGGGUCUAACGGGGGAGAGAUUCAAAACGAGUUAUAUUUUUUUUAUAAUUUUAGUUUUUACUUACAAUCUCAUUUGGAACGGAUCCGAACGGAAGCUCCACUAAUCUGAAUCCAUUUGCAUCCCUAAUUUUAACUAUUGUCUUUUCCUACAAUUUUAGCCUUCCACCUUGACAUGCAGGUUGGGUGUUUGUGGAAUUAAUGAAGCUUCCACCAUUUGUCGGUUGUUAAAUGUUGAAGUCAUAGACUUAUCAUAAGCAUCACCUCAUUUAAAAUGGACUCCCUUUGAUCAUCUCCCCCCAAAAAAAUUAAAAAUAAAAAGAUAAAUAAAAUCACAGGUCACUAAUUUAUGAAGUUUUAUUUGGAUCAUCAAACUUUUAACUUCUAUUUCACUUGGAUCAUCACCACCGAAACUUCGACUAAUUUUUUAACGAGAUAAUGUAUGUUGCCCUUAAAAGUACUCUUUAGACAAUUAUUCUUGACUUAAAUGGGUCAGCAUCUUGUCUUGUGCGGAUUGGAUCGAGUCACGUUUGAAAUAGAGGAAAAUCGGAUUGAGCGGAGUCAUAUUUGAAAUAGUAUGAGACUAAUAAAAUCAAAUCAUAAUAAAGAUCCGCGGACACUGUGGGCGUGUUUGGUUCGAAGUCGGAGUCGGAAUCGGAAUCGGAAUCAAAAUAAGUUGGAAUCGGAAUCGGAAUGACUCAUUAUCUAAUUCUGUUUGGUUCAUCACCUGAAUCGGAAUCGGAAUAAAUCAUUUCCAUUGUCGGUGUUUGGUUCAGGUGAUAUAAAAAACGUAAUCAAAUUAGUAUAUUAACAUUAUCUUUAUAAUAUAUUAAUUUAAAUUCAAAUUAAAUAUUAAAUAUUAAAAAAUUACAUCAAAAUUUUGAAAUAAUGUCAAAAUUUUAAAUGUAUGUUUUUUUAAAAAAAUUAAACUUUGAAGUUGAGUGGAUAAUUCAAAAUAUGAAACUAAAUUUUGAUUUAUUCAAAUUCAAACUUAAAAUUACAAUUUAAAUUUUAAUUUGAAUCCAUAAAUUUAAUUUAAGUUUGAAAUAAAAUUUGAAUAAAACUUUAUAUAAAUUAAAAUUUAAUUUAAAUUCAAAUUAUAAGUUAGAUUCGAAAUAUUUGAUUAAAUUUUAAUUUUUAAUUUAAGUUUAAAUUAAAAUUUAAAAUAAUAUAUUUAAUUUUUAAAUUUUAACUCAUAUUUUAAUUAAAAAAUUUGAAAAAAUAAAUUUAAUUCGAAUAAAUAUCCAUUCCGUCCGGAUUCAACUUUCAAUCCGGCCUCCUAGGCCGGAUUGAAAAAAGAGGUGAUUGGAGGAUUUCCAUUCCACUCGGGAAUUGGAAUCGGAAUGGGACUCCCGCGUACCAAACAUCCACAAACGGAUUCAGCCAUUCCGAUUCCGAUUCCAUGAUGAAAAAGAAGCGAACCAAAUACGCCCUGUAUGUAUGCUUUAAAUGAAUUUAUUGCAUACUUUUAAUAGUUUAAACUUUUGAAGAAAUUGAUUUGGCUCAAAUCCAAAUUAUUUAAGUAAAAGAGAGAACCUUAAAAUUUAUCCGAAAGAUUCCAAAUUGGUUGUGGGCAAGGUGAGGCUAAAAAAGAAUAAAAUGAGAAGCUCCCAUAUUUAUUAUUUAAAGAAAAUUUAAUUAAAUUAAUAUAUCAAAUUAAAUGAGAGGAUAAUAAACAAUGAAAGCGCCAAGAAAUAUCAUGGCAUCUAGUGGUGUCUUUUGGUGCCUUGGCCUUUUUCGACUUCAAUUUUGAGUCAAAAAAUGAGAGAAAAAAAAAAAAGAUUAAUAUUAAAGAGAGAGAGAGAGAGAGAGAGAGAGAGAGAGAGAGAGAGAGAGGGGACAUAAUUUUAUGAAUAAAUGAAUGUAAGGAAGAUUCCACACGCCACUUUCACAAGAAGUUGUGACAAGUUAGCCCCUUCCCCAGCUACACCUUUCUAGUAUCUUUGCUACUGUCUGGUGCAGUUGAUUCGUAUCUCGGCGGUUACUAAAAAGAUUAAAAUUUGAUAUCUCGUAUGUAGUGAUGCAAAUGGAUUAGGGUUGGUGAAUAUUCUGUAUUGAUCUACUUCCGAUGGGACAAUAAGUGAGUGCCAAAAAUUAGAAAUUUAAUAAUUCCAAUCGAAUCCUUCCUGCUCCGCUAAGAAAUAGAGCGAGAGGCGAGAAACUUUUUUUUUUUUAAUUUGAUCUGUCCCGAUCCUCUAAAAUCUACUUCUAUCUCUUUCUGUCUCGAAUGGAAUAGUAAGUGGAAAAAAAAUAAUAAGAUAAAAUUCAACACACUCCGAAUCUAUCAUGACCUGUAAAGAAAAACAGAGCAGGAGGUGAGAGGUCCCUUUCACCCUCGAAUUCGUCUCGUUUGCAUCCCUAUCUGUAGGUACUUUCAAAGAAAAUAAUUUAGUCCCCGACUACUUAAGUAUCCAUCCAUACUUAUUGUCGCAUUAAAGAAGAGGUUGAUCAUAUCACAGGACAAACAAGGGACAUAUUUAUCUCUCCCUCCUCCUCUUCAACAAUAUUGCAUAUCACAUACAUCAAACUUAUUUUUUUAAUUAUUAAUAUUUUAAAAUUAAAAUAUAAUUUAAUAGAUAUAAUCUGUAUCAUAUAAAAAGUGUAUGUAUAAAAUAUUACAGAGUUUAAAGUUUUAUGAUAGGAUUUAUUAAUACAGUGCUGUUGAUGGCUUUUUAGAACAAGACCUACGAGUGUGUUAAAUAAUAAUAAUAAUAAUAAUAAUAAUAAUAAUAAAGAAAAAAAAAAGGGAAAUUUGAGAAAUCCCAAUGCUAAUGUCCUUUUUAAUAAACUUAAUGUCCCAUAAAUAAAACUUGUUCUUUGGUUGAGAGAUCUCAUCAAUACACUAUUUGGAGAGGCUUAUGUCAAGCCUAGUUAGUUAAUUCGCGAAUUAUUCGCGAAUUAAUGAAAAUCCGAAUUAAACGGUCCGUUUACGAAUUUUUCUCAAAAAAAGAGAAUUAUUCGCGAAUUUUUGGGCCAGCCGAAUUAUUCGCGAAUUAUUCCCGAAUUAUUAAAAAUAUGAGUAAAAAUCUUAUAUUUUGUAUUUUUAAAUAUAAAUUAUCUUAUAUUUUAUAUCUUAUAUUUUAUAUUUUAUACCGAAUCCGUUUUUUAAGCCGAAUUUUUUAACGAAUUUAAAAAUUAGAAAACGAAUUUUAUGCGUAUUAUAUCCGUACUGAAUUUUUGUCAAAUCCGAAUUAACUAACUAUGAUGUCAAGUGAAAUGCUUGUACACUAAAAACCAAUUAGAAUGCAAUGUAUAGUGACAAAGUGAUUCAUCAUGAAUUAAUGAAAAGACACUACAUUACAAAGAAAUAGUAAUCGUUAACAAGGAAUAUGUUUGUUGCAUAUUAAUGACAACAAUAAAUUAAAUAAUACAAUAAGCUAGUAAAUUUAUUUGAUAAACUUAUUGCAACAAUUUGAGAAAGAACUUAAAUGAAAAAAAAAACAAAAUAUUAAAAAGCAUAUAGCAUAGAUAAUAAAUAUGUAUAACAUAAGUAAUUAAUGCAAAUAUCUUGGAUAAUAUCUUGUUCGAGCUGAUCUUAAAUCCCGUAAAUUAUAAAAGAAUUGAUAGCAUAAAUUGUUGUUUUCUAUCUUUCGUUAACCCCUUUUAUUAACUAAGAAUUGCAUGUAUCUAAUUUAAAUAUUUAUAAAUAUAUAUAUAUAUAUAUAUAUAUAUAUUUAUUUAUUUAUUUAUUUAUUUAUUUAUUUAUUUAUAAAUAUUCCUCUUUUACAAUCAAAUAUACAAAGUUGUCACUGGUCUCUAAUGCUUAAUAAGUUACCUUAUAAAUAACUUAUAAAAUAAACAAAGAAAAACUUGUACACAAAGAUAUAUAGAUCAAUUAUUGGUAGGGUACUAUUUACACAACAUCCAAAUUCCACAUCUUUUCACAAAAAGGAAAAUGAAAGGGAAAACUCUAAACGGUUUAAAAGUAUCAAUUAAUUUUUUUCCUCUAUUUUAUUGAAUUGCAAAUAGGUAAAGUGAAAUGUAGUUAGCUUGUCAAAUUUCAAAUGUCACAAUGCUAAGUUUGAAAAGUUAAACCACUCUUAACCACCACGAGCGCAAAUUAAAGUUGGGCUAAUCAAUGGGUAUAAGUUACGUUACUAAUCCUUGACUUUUUUUUUCUAUUAGAUUGAUAUACAUUUUGGAUAAUAUAACAUCAGACACGUUGCUAAAUUUUUAAAUUCUAAAUUCUAAAUUCUAACUCUUUAUUCUAAGAUAAUGUAAGUUUUUUCUGCAUUCACUAAUCUGUGUAAAUAUUGUUGUCUCUGUCACCUUUUUAGUUAGUGCGUGCGUUAGGAUUCGCCUAAUAUUCAAUAUAUAUAAGAGCGAGAUAGUUAAGACUAAUUUUGAUCUUUUUUAUUUGAUAAAUCUUUUAAAUAAUAAUUAGUGUCUUGGAGAUGAGUUCAAAGGUCAUUUUAAUUUAGGAGAAAAAGAAAGCAUCAUAGCCAUUAUUAAUUCUAUUUUCAUUCUAUUUUACAUUUUGUUUUCUUCUUUCCAUUCCAUUUAGCAUAAAAUGUAGAGCACCACUUAUAAAUGCGCCAUAGACAUUCAAAUACAGUUAGUCAUUUAGAUUUGAAGAUUUCGAAUACAAUAUACAACCUGAAUGUAAAGCUAGAAAAAUUAAACCAAAUCAUAAUACAGAAAAUCGACUUGUCAACGAUAUUUUAUAUUUUAAGAUACGUAUAAUAAUACACAUUUUAGAAAAUAUAAAUGAGUUUAUCUAAUAAAAUGAUAAAUCAUAACUAACAAUCAUUUUAUUGUACUUACUUUCUUUUUCUCAUUUAUGAUUCUCCACAACUUUGGACUCCAUCACUUUUCUUUUCUUUUCUUUUUUUCUAUUUAUUUGGACUCUCUUUCCUUUCAAAAGUUUAUGAAGAAGAAUCAUUCUUUUUAACUUAUUGUUUCCUUUGCUUCUCAACUUCUUAUGCACUUUCCACUACUCUUCCAUGUGCAUAUGUCACAUUUCAUGUGCUCUUGUAUAAGUUGCAUAGCUAUAAAAUAUAUUUAUUUAUGUAUCCUUAUAUGGUGUAUGUAUAAAGCACAUACUUUAUUUGCUUCUCAAAUCCCAAUUUUUAUUCUUUUUCAUGCUCUUAUUACUCUCUUUUUUCCCCUCACUUUUUUCUUUUCCAAAGAGUGCCAACUUUUUCCAAAAUAUUAUGUUUUUCUCUCUCUCUUGAUAAGAAUUAAGUAAUAUCUUAGUCAAAAAUUUAAAAAAUUUUGUCAAAUAUAUACUUCAGUAAUUUUACUAAAUUCAAAUACUACUAUUUUUUAGCUGGUGAUAGAACUAAAUUAAUCAAGUAAGAUUAAAACUAUGUGAUUAAAUUUGAUAAAUUUUUUUACUAAUUAAGUUUAAAAACUUAAAUAAAAAGAUUGGAAGUUGAGCGGGUCACAAUUAAAAAAUAAUAAUAAUAGAAAUAAGUUGAGGGAGGUAUUUUAAAAAUGGCAUAUAGUUGAGGGGUCUCCAUACAUAUUUACCUUUUUUUUUUUUUUUUUUUUGAGUAAAGUGGAGUACAAAUCAAGUUUCCUUGUCAUUCAUAAUUCCGCUAUUUCUACUUCAAUCAUUGACUACAACUUUUCAAGAUUGGUCCACAUUAUCAACAUUGAAUAGCCAAAAUUUAAAAAAAAAAUUAAAUUCAAAAAAAUAGAUAGAUAGAUUUUUCUUUUUUACCCUUUCUCUUUUUUAGAGAAAUAAACUUAUGAGUUAGUUAAUUGAGGGCCCAACGGCUUGAUUAAUUAACUAUGAUCACUGUCUAAUCUGAUUCGAAUUUGUCAAUUGCGCGUAAUUUAUUUCUUAAUUGAUCUAUGGUUAAUUAAUUUAGGGACCAUUUGGUUCUAUAUAGUUGUAAUUGUAUAUAGAUUCAAAUUUGAAGUUUGUUUUGAUGUAUUUGAAUUCAAUUGCUACAGUUGUAACUGCACGAGAAGGCUCAACUGCAGCAGUUGAAAUUAUGCCCAAAUUAGGCGCAGUUUUAACUACAGCACUUAGAUAAAGUAAAUUUAAUCAAAGAUAAGCUUAUAUACUUUCACAAUAGCUUUUUAAAUAGAUUUUUUUUCUUUUCUACAUAGAGAGUAAUCUCACCAAACCAUAUAUAAAAUAAUAGAAACUCAUAAAUGCACUUCCAACUGCAUAAAUUUAAAUAAAGUAUUUAUAGCUGCAGCACUUUUUUAUAAUAUUUACUAAACAAGAUGCAUAUAAUUAUAAUUAUUAUAUUUUUAACUACAUUAAUUUUUAACUAUAUUAUAUUUACAAUUAUAUAGAACCAAAACAACCCUCAUUAGAGUAUUAAACUUAGCAUUUUAAUAAUAUCAUACAUCCUAGUCCAAUUAAAAAAUAAAAAGAUGAAUUUCCACUUCCAAAAUAAAAAAAAAUUGCAUUUUCCUCUCUCUCUCUCUCUCUCUCUCUCUCUCUCUCUCUUGUGAGUUUUGAUUUUUUUUAAUUGGAUUAGAUAAAAUUUUUCUCCCUUACUAUAUUCUACAUUUGCCUUGUCCUAAUUUACCCAAUAUGAAUAAAAUAUAGUACUUCAUUAAUAAAUUUUUAAAUUGCAAGUUCCUUGCAUAAUAAAAUAGCACUCUAAAAUAGAGGACAUUUUCCACUUGUUUUAUGCAUGAAACAUUUAGAUGAAAUUUUUUAACAUUAAAAAUUAAAGAUUAAUAUAGAAAUCAACAUUAAAAACCUCUAAAUUAACAAGUGAACAAAAAUAAAUGACAUUAACUACAAGUGCAUAUGUAAAACAAUGAAAGUAUGCUAUAUAUAAUUAGUAAAUAUACAUCAAUGACUUUUUUUAAAAUAAAUUGAGAAUAGAACAAAAUUAUAGUUAUCCAAGUGUAAAUAAAAAAUUAAUAAAUUUAAAUAUUUUAAUUAGUUUUUGGAAUCAUAACUCCAACAUAUAUAGCAAUAAUUUUAUAAAUUGGAAGAAACAAAAAAGCUAUUACAACUAUCUAAUUCUCAAAAUUUUCUUGCAAUUCUCAACCUCUAACCCAAAAUAAAAAAAUAAAUAAAUAAAUAAAUGGAAAUUUCAUCCAAAUUAUACACAAAAACAAUUAGAACACUUCAAAUUUAUUUCCAAUUGAUCCUAAACAACACAUAUAUAGGAACAAAGAUUUAGUAAUUGCAUGUACAAUUCUUAUUGAAGCCACUUAAUUAAUUUCUAGACAUGUCAUAACUAAAAUUGUGUCUUUUAACACACACAUAUCUAAUUAAACAUGUUCUCCAUAAUAAAAACCUAUAACAAUUAAUUAAGAUUAAUUUAAUUACUUUAAUUAAUAAUCCACACAUAAAUAACACAUUUAGCAAUUAAUUAACCUGCCACAAGGCCAAAACCCCACCUCCCACCGCGGCCGCCGCCGUCGCGAACCGGCCUAAGCUCACACUCCGUCGACGCGCGCCGUUGGGGUGGUACCCGGGGUCCUGAGGGUACAAUUCGCCAGGCGGCGUGUAAAUCCACGGAUAGUACGGCGGGGAGUACGCCCCCCACGGCGGCGGAGGGCAGAGGGCGGACGGCGGCGAUGGAACAUACGGAGUGUACGGCGGCGGCGGAGGCGGGUACGACCAUAUUGGCGGGGGCGACGGCGGCGGCGGAGGAGAGUACGAAUAUUCGGGGGGCAGCGACGGCGGCGGAGGGCUGGUGAUGGAACAGGGAGUACCGCACGGAUUAUCACACGUGCACUUUACUCCCAACAGUUUCGUACGGCUGAAUGAUGGAACUUCUAAAUCGACCUCGGCACCCGUGCCGAUGAGGAAAAGCAGCUGCAGAAGGAAAAUGAUUAGGAUUGGUUUCCUCAUCAUUUGGGUAUUGUGGAAUUUGAGCUCUCUCUCUCUCUCAAAAAUUUGGGGAUAAUUUGGGAUUAAUUCUCUUAUUACUCUCCCCUCUCUUUUUUGUUCUCCUUGUUUCUUGUAUAUAGAGAGAGAGAGAGAGAGAGAGAGAGGGGGUCUUAUUGGGUUUAGCAUUAAAUUUUGUCCCUAGGCUUUUUUUUUCUUUUUUUCUUUUUUUCUUUUUUUUUUUUCAAGUGCUCAUAGGCGUAAGGGUAAGGUGACGUGGAUGUGAUGGCUCUAUGUUUGUUGCAUUAAUUAAUUACUAAUGGAUUUUGUACAACUGGGGUUGUAGCAAAUUACUACAACCUAGAUAGGUGGCAUACUAUAUAUUAUAUAUUUUUAACUAUGUAGAUGAGGAAAUAAUUGAGCUUUCAAUUCACUUUCUCACUUUUGUACUUUUUUUUCUCUUUUAUUUCUCUCCCAAAUUUUCUUUUGGAUACAAUAUUUUAAUGUUUCUUUUUUAUUUUUAGCAAUUCUUUUAUGAUAAAAUAUCUGAUUUUCUAUUUUUGCACUUUAGUAUCUUAUUAUUUAAAAUAUAACACUUUAAUAUUCUAUAAUCUUUUUUUUUUCGCCAUUAACUCUUUGCUAAAUCAUAUAUAAAACUUCAGAUAUUUUCUACCAUUGGUAGAAAAUAUCUGAUUUUCUAUUUUUUCACUUUAGUAUCUUAUUAUUUAAAAUAUAACACUUUAAUAUUCUAUAAUCUUUUUUUUUUCGCCAUUAACUCUUUGCUAAAUCAUAUAUAAAACUUCAGAUAUUUUCUACCAAUGGUUAAUCAAAUAUUCAUUUUAAUGCCCUGUAGUUUACUAAAUUUUACUUCAGUAUUAUGUAAUUGUAUCUUUAUCACUGAUUAAACAGAAAAAUUAUCGGAGGGAAUAAUUAAAAAAAAGAAAUGAAACCACUUGUUACUAAAGUGAUAUAUUUUAAAUCACGGGAUACUAAAGUGACAAAGCACGAAACCGCAGGGUGGUAUUUGAAGUUUUUUUUUUCUUCAUUGUUGAUGUAUAAAGUAGACGAUUCUGAAUUUCGAUACUGUUAGCUUAAAUAGACCAGCAUCCUACCCUGUGGUGGGAGGCUAUAUGGGCCGAGUCAUGUUCGAAAUAGCGUGAGGCUGUGUUGGACCGAGUCAUGUUCGAAAUAGCGUGAGGCCAGGUGGGCCGAGUCACAAUCGAGACCCGUGGGCGCUGUUUCUGUACGCUUUAAGUGAAUUGGUUGCGUAUUUCUAACAGCUCGAGCUUUUGGGAUUAAUGGUUAGCGCCAACGAUCCGACAAGUGGUAUCAGAGCCAGAGGUCACGGGUUCGAUUCCUGCAUGCUGCAAAUGUGUGCAGGUGCUGGAGGGGGGACUGUUGGCUUAAAUGGGCCAGCAUCCUGCCCUGUGGCGGGAGGCCAUGUGGGCCGAGUCAUGUUCGAAAUGGCGUGAGGCUGGGUUGGGCCGAGUCAUGUUCGAAGUGGCGUGAGGCCAGGUGGGCCGAGUCACAAUCGAGACCCGUGGGCGCUGUUUCUAUACACUUUAAGUGAAUUGGUUGCGUAUUUCUAACAGCUCGAGCUUUUGGGAUUAAUGGUUAGCGCCAACGAUCCGACAGAUACACCAGCGCGAAUCUUAAAGCAUAGCGCGCAAUCUCGAUGCACGAUGGGUGGUAAAAUCCGAGUUAUUUUUUAAACUAUAGAAUUCAAACCAAUCAAAAUGCUUAACAUGAUAAUAACAAUAAUAAUAAUAAUAAUAAUGAUAAUAAUAAUAAUAAAGUUCAAGUUUUAUAUAUUGUUUGUGUAAAUAUCCUGAUAUUUUUAAAUAUAUUUCUGUCGUCAGAAUUCAUUAGAAAAAAUUAGUUAACCAUAAGUAAUAUAUUUAACCCUACUUAGUUAGUAAAGUGAAUUAAUAUUUUUAUCCCUCUUUAAUUAACAAUUUGAAUUUUUAGAGAAAUAUAUUUGUGAUGACAAAAAAAGCAUUUCACUUAUAAAAUAAUUAGUGUUUUAACGGUAAUAAACCAGAGAGACAUAUUUGAAAACAUUAUGAUUUUUGCAGGAAUAACAUAUAAAAGUUAAACUCUAUAAGAAUAUAUUUGUAAUUUACUAUAUUUAAAGGGACCUAUAUGAAAUUAACCCUAAUAUAUAUAUAUAUAUAUAUAUAUAUAGACUUGGAAUACUAUUAAAUAUAAACACUCUUUUUGCUAUCAAAUUUUUUACCCUUGGAUGAAAAAUUGUAGGGUCGGGAUGAUAUUAGUCGGUUAGAGUUGAAUGGUCCCCCUAGGAUUGAGUGGUCCCCACUGGAUUAUAGUAUUUAAUCCAAUGGUUAGAAAUAAUGAAAAGAGUUGAUCCAAAGGCUAAAAAACUGGUAGCAACAAUGGGAUUUUGCUACUAAUAGUAGUCCAGUCGAACUAUAUAUAUAUAUAUAUAUAUAUAUAUAUAUAGAGUGCGGCUACUAUGCUAUUGGAAGCACGGAGCCUUCCGUGCUUCCACCUCGUUUUCGAUGUUGCGACUUUCAAAUCGUCGAUCGGCUCCAUUAAACUUGAUCUAGAGUAUUUGGAGUAUCUAAAAAAAAAUUUUAUUAUUUUUCGAUAUCAUUUGCCUAGUGAUCGAAUGGGCUCAAAAUAACAAAUUUCAAUGGCCAUAGUGAGCUGUUUGCAAGUUUAACGGUGUAGAAAUAUCCAAAUCACGUGAAAUUUUGAUAGAAAAUUCUUUAUACUAUAUAAACAAGAUCAAUAUCUUUGAUUUAAAAUUUUAAUAUCAUAUUAUUACAUUUUGUAAUAUUUUUAUUUUCAGUCAUUGAUUUUGAGCCCUUUCGUUCACUAGGCAAAUGAUAUCGUAAAAUCAUAAAAUUUAUUUUCUAGGUACUUCAAAUACUCUAGAUCAAGUUUAACGGAGCCGAUCGACAAUUCGAAAGUCACAAUAUUGAAAACGAGGUGGAAGCACGGAAGGCUCCGUGCUUCCGAUAGCAUAGUAGCCUCACUAUAUUAUAUAUAUAUAUAUAUAUAUAUUAUAUAUAUAUAUAUAUAUAUAUAUAUAUAUAAUAUAUAACACACAAAAAAAAGAAAAGCCGGUAUACUAUCGGUAGCACGGAGACCUCCGUGCUACCAAGUUGUUUUCAAUUAUGCGGCUUUCAAAUCGACAAUCGGCUUCGAUAGACUUGAUCUGCACUAUUAAAAAUGUUUGGAAACUAAAUUUCAUAAUUUUUCGACAUCAUUUGACUAGUGAUUAAAAGGUCUCAAAAUUGACAAAUUUUCGACAUCCUAAAUUCAAGUCUUUUAUCAUCAUUUUUUAUAAAAUUUUUAUUUUCAGCCAUUGAUUUUUAGACUACUCGUUUGAUAGGUAAAUAAUGUCAAAAAAUUAUGAAAUUUAGUUUCCAAACACUUUCAAUAGUGUAGAUCAAGUCUAACGGAGCCGAUCGUUGAUUUGAAAGCCGCAUCAUUGAAAACAACUUGGUAGCACGAAGACCUCCGUACUACCAAUAGUAUACCAGCCUAGCUAUAUAUAUAUAUAUAUAUAUAUAUAUAUAUAGUCCGGCUACUAUACUAUUAAUAGCACGAAGCACUAGGUGCUACCAAAUUUUCCGCCGUUAGAUCUACCCUUUUGAUCAUUUUCACCCGUUAGAUCAUACUAUUCAACCAGCCACCCACUCAACCCUAGGGGGCCCACAUCAUCCUAACCACACAUCUCUUAAUUCAAUGGCCAAAAACUUGGUAACACCAAUGACUUGGUGCUAUUAAUAGCAUAGUAGCCUAGUUCUAUAUAUCAUUAAAAACGUGCCACAUCGGCCGUUAAAAUAGUCAUUUUUGAGACCUUUUGAUCGCUUGGUAAAUGAUGUCAAAAAAUUAUAAAAUUUAGUUUCUAUAUAGUUCCAAUAGGAUAGAUUAUACUUAACGGAGCCGAUCAUCGAAUCGAAUUUCCUAUCAUCGAAAAUAACUUACAAGUACGGAGGUCUCCGUACUUUCGAAAGUACCGGAGACUUACUCUCUCUCUCUCUCUCUCUCUAUAUAUAUAUAUAUAUUAAUUCGAAUUUGUUGGACCCUCGAACUUGACCUCACCCAAAAUUGUAUGGUGAGUAAUCUCCCGCCCUUCGAUCGCGAUCGGACGGUCGAUCGCUUUUGAUGGUGAUUUUGAAGUGGACUAUACAUGUAUCUGCGUUAGUUGGAUGACAUUUAAUUUGCUUCGAGAUCGACAAGGUGCUGCAAUCGGACGGCUCACAUCUCUCUCCGUUAAAGUUUCAUUUAUGAUUGUAUUUUUGAUUAGUACUAAAUGUUGGUUUUACUAAGUCUUCGGAAUUAAUGACAUAAAAUGUUGUGAUAGAGAUAGGUGGAGAGGGAAAAAAAAAAAAAAGGAAAAAAAAUGAUCUUAAUUUUAUAAGAUAGGAGAAAAAAAUUACUUUUUUAUGUUUUUUAAUUUCCAUCUUCUUUUCGAUCUUUUCGUGGUAAUAUGUUCAUAUAUAUUUAUAUAUAAUUUAAUUAUUUAAUAUGUUGAAUUUGAUGAAAAUAAAUUAACUAUUAUAUUUACGAGGUAACGAAAUUUACUUACGUACAUAAAAAUAAAUUAUCGAACUCAAUAAACUAGUUAUACUAACAAUAAGCUAUACAGAAUAAAUACAAAAAUUGAUUGAAUUUAAUUUUCAGACUGUAUGAGUUAUAUUAAAAUAAAAAAAAUAAAAAAAUAGCUAUAUUUGUGACACUCUAGGAUUUGAAAUAAUAUAUAUUUAAAACAUAGUAAAACUACAUAUCAUAACCCCGCAAUGUACUAUUUUGGGUGAUGACUAGGUUCAAAAGGGUCCAAAAGGUUAAUAGGGUUAAAUAUUUUAGAACUAGAGUAAUUUUAGGACAGACGAUCCCCCUAAUAACCAAAAGGUCGCGACACUUCAAGAGAACUAAAAUUUCUCUAUACUUAAGUUACGUUGGAUCUAAAGAUUCGUCAAUCCAAAUGCCCUAUAAAAAUUAGAAUUUUUAUAUGGCUAAUGGUUAAUAACACGAGUCAGGCUACUAUAGUCUAUAUAAGUAUAGAUCACUUUAUAUUUAUAAGUUUUCGGCCGUUAGAUCUAUAUAUCAUUUGAUCAUUUUUAACUGUUAGAUUACACUAUUCAAUCAACCACCCACUCAACCUUAAGAAAUUACUAUUAUUCUAACCGGCGAUCACUAUCAUCUUAACCAUACAUUUUUUUAUUCAACGAUCGAAAGUUUAUGAGUACAAAAUGGACUAUAGUCAUAGCAGUAUAGUAGCCCUAGCCUAAUAACACAUUAUGGACAGAGAAAAACAUGAUGAAGAAAGAGUGGAGAAUCAAUUCAAAGGGAUUUGCACUUUUGUAACAGGCUAGUUUAGCUAGUCUGCUAACUAUCUCUUUAUUGCAUGUAGGUUUGUGAGGAUUAUAUGGCUUUCUUUAAACAUAUUUAUAUGGCUAAAUUAUAUAAAAACACUAUGUCAAAACUCGAUUUUUCACUUUCCCUCCUUGUCAUUUAAAAACCUACACUUUGCCCCCUUGUAAAAUGAAAAAUAUUCACUUCGCCCCCAGCCAUUAGUAAACUGUUAGGAUUCCGUUUAUAAAAUAUUAUUAUAUAUUUUUUUAUGCCAAAAAUGCCCUCAGCCUUCUCUACUGUGAACAUGGUGAUGGGCAAAAUGGUGAGGGGCAAAAUGGUCAUUUUAUCAUUAUAGUUCACACCGUACCCUCUGUGAAUAUUUUUCAUUUUAUAAGGAGACAAAGUGUAGGUUUUAAAUGACAGAGAAGGAAAGUGAAAAAUCGAAUUUUGACAGAAAGAUUUUCUGUAAUUUAGCCUAUUUAUAUUUAUAAAAAAAAAAUCUUUACCCUCUGAUGUCAAAGACUAGUGGUUGAAGUGAAGGAUGAAUGAAAGAGUGAAGUGUCAUCAGAGACAAGGAUGGAAUAAUAUUGUAGUCAUGGCUAUUUUUUGGUGUAUUUGGUGAGAAAGUAAUAAUAGAAUAUUCCAUGCAUGGGGUGCCUUAUUCAGACAUGAUUCUUGUAUAGAGAAAAUUAACUAUUUUGCUUCAAUGUGGGUAGAUAAGUUGGUGUAGAGCAAAAGAAGGAAUUCUUUUAUUUUUCAGAUCAAGAAGAGAGCAAUAAUAUUGAUGCAUGUUGAUAGUUUUUUAUUCUUCUUUGUUUGUUGAUUAAUUUGCUUGUUUAUUCAUCUAGGAUGUGAUGGGUUUUAGUGAUUAUAUAUAUAUUUUAGUGGUAUAUUAUUUUAAGAGUUUGCUGAUGAAACAUUUUAUUUUUGUGGUUCGAUCUCUGCGUGAAAUAUAUGAAACAAUUGUUGUACUCUAAAAACUUAAACUGUUAGAGAACACGAUGUUUAUAUAUUUUUUUAUAUUUAACGCUUCUCCUUAUGCUUGGGGUAGAGACUUUUUACAAUGGCCCAUGACGUGGACUUGAAUUAAAUGAGAGAAAAUUAAUGAUAUUAGGAGUCUACCAUUACUCGAACUCAGGACCUUCUUCUCUGAUACUACGUGAAAUAUAUGAAACAAUCGUUAUAAUCUAAAAGAUUAAGUUUUUAGAAUACAACGAUUGUUUCACACUCUGUACGGUUAACUUUUUUUUUUCUUUAAUAAAUAUCUCUCAGAGAUUUCUCUCCUAUUUAUUACUCAAAAAAAAUAAAUAAGUAAGGGAGCUUUGGACUUGUGAAGCCUAUGCAAGCAACUUCAAAAUGAUGAAAAAGGAAAACUUUAAUUUUGGCUACAAUGAUUUCAGUGGGAGAGGUUUCAAAAAUUUUAGAACCUAAACUUAGAAAGAAGGGUUGAAUAUGAAAUAUUAAUAUAUCAUUGACCUCUAAUAACUUUUUAAAUUUUUGGCUAAAAUACUGAGAUUUUUUUUUGUAAAUACUUUUUUUUUUAACUUUCAAAAACCUAUAUUUUACCUCAAAUUUUCAGAAAUAUUUUCAGAGAGUUACAGCAUUAAUGGAUAGAUGAAAUUAUCAAAAUUUUCUUACUUGUUGUUCUAUAAGAAAAUUUUUUAAUAUAUUUUUAUCAUUUUCAAAGAUAUUUUCGAUAGAAAUUAUAAAAAUGAAGGGAACAGUGACAGAACCCUAAUGGAGGGGGACUAGAUGCAUCAACUUAAAAUUUUAAGUGCAUAAAAUAUAAGUUUUUGAAAGUCAAGAAGAAAAAGUAAAAAAAAAAAAAAGAUAUUUAUAGAAAUUUUUUUUGUAGUUUAACCAAAUUUUAAAGAUAAUUGAUUAUUUCAUAUGGUAUUUACAGGAUUGAGGCUUUUUGUUGCCAAUUCCUAGCAACAAAUAUUACUACAUUAAAUCCCUUUCCAAAGUGUAAAAAUCAAAUGGUCCAUAAUUUGUCCUUGACUAUGUUUAUUAUGUCAUGAUAUACACAUGGGAGAAAAAUGAAAAACAAAAAAUCAUUUUCACUUUUCUUUUGAUUUUGAUCAUUUGGCUCUCAAUUUGGUGUACCCAUGCUACAGGAUAUGGAUUGUUCACCUAAUUUGACCCCCCCCCCNGACAACUAAUUAAUUACUAAUUAAUUAUGCUCCUCCCCCUCCCCCCAAUAAAAGGGGGGUCCACACCACUCACUGCCUCUACCUGCACCAAGACAUUUUUUUUUUUUUUUUUUUUUUUGAGGGAAAACACGCCCUAAGGUGAUUUUAUUUAAUUAAUCAGUGGAUACAGACUGGAAAAAAUCAUCAAUAGACGACCAUAAAAAAAACUUUUUGAGUUGUAUAGUUAUAUCGAGGAUUUUUCUAUUGUUAAGUUUUGUACGCGGUAAAAAGCGAGUUAAUUAAAUACUAAUUAAGUUAAUGAAAUAAUUAUGAUUUUACCUUUAACUAUCCCUAGCUUGUAGGGUAAAGAACUAAUGCAUGUUUUUCUUUUCUUUUUAUUUAGAAUAUAGUUUUUAAUUAUAUAGCUUAUAUCAGAAUUUUUUAACUAACUUAUUAAGUGUGAUAUCUAUUAGUUUUACUUGAAUUAACUCUUUCUCCAUAAGUUUUGUUAAAAUUAUGAAAAUCACUUUUCUCAUGAUAAGUUUACAAAGUUUAUAGUUAAUUGGAGUGUAAAAUGAAAUUUUACAAAUAGGGGUUUUUUGAGAAUAUCUUUGUUAUAUUUACGAUGGCAUUAGUAAUAUUCUAAACCUUAAAAGGGUAUUGAUGAAAUUAUAGUUAGUAGUAGGGCGUUUCAAAAAUUAUCUGUGUUUUUUAAAAUACCUAUAUGGAGCGAGAUUCAAAGUACUUGGUAAUAUUGCUUAAUAAUAAAGACAGAAACACUACAACAGAAUUAGGUUAUAGGGACACAUGUUUGGGACACAUGUUUGGGACACUUUUGAGUAAGUGUCCCAUUUAUCCUAAAGCUUAAAAAAACAUCUAGUAAUGCCUAAAUAUAAAGCCCAAUCCAACCAAAAAUAAAAGAUUACUCUACUCAACCCACCACAUCCAGUCCAUUUGGCCCGAUUACAAAUAGAAAAGAAAAAAGAAAGAAAAAUCAAUUACCAUCUUUUCUUCUCUCUUCACUCAAUCCACUAAAAUUCUAGACGAAGAGCCUUUCCUGUCGUCCUCCUCCGCCACCACAGUCAACGGGAUAGAGUUUCGGCGGUUGCUACAUGCUUAAAUAAGUGUUCGUAAAUUAGCAGCACUCUUUUAGGUUAUAGCGACACUCUUUAACUGUCACUAUAUACCUAGCGACCCCACAUAUAGCAACACUUUUUAAAAGUGUCGGUAAUUUUAGCUAGUAGCACUUUUUUGACAUGUACCUACAUUUAAAAGUGUCGCUAUAGACCGUUUUUGUUGUAGUGAAACGAGCUACUCUAAAUAGUGGUGGUUUUACUUAAACUUCUGAUUCAGUUUAUCUAAUUGUUUAACAUCUUACAGGCCUUUAAUUUUAAAUUUUUAAGUUUUGAUUAGACAAAGAAUUUGUUGAAAAGGAAAAAAACAAGCAUUGGUGGUCAUGUUAACAUAAUUCAACACAUUUUUUAGUUCUUCAAAAAGAUUAAAAGGCUUUCAAAAUCUCCUUUACCUUUUUUUGUUUUUUUUUUUUCUUACACUUCUAGUUAAAGCUAUAGAAAGUGUAAACAUGGUAUAUAUAUAUGUAGACCUUUAAAAAAUUAACUUCAAAAGUUUAAAUUCUUUUAUAUGACCAUGGAAAAAUAAAUUGUUACACAUAUACAUUGCAAAAUCUCUAUCUAGUUUCUCCUAUGUGGUUUGUAACUCUUAAGCUCUAACAACAAUGGUCCUAUGUGAAAAUAUAUUUUUAUACAAAAGCACCUAACCACAAUUAAUUGAGUCUAAAGGACCAUGAUUAGAAUAUGCUACACUAUAUUUUAUACAAUACUUUUGACUAUAAGUCAUCUUUAUUUAAAAACUUUGCACAAAAAAAAAGAAUUUCUAUUGCAAAUGAUAUAGUGACAUAAGAUUAUCUCAAAAGAAAAAAUUUUAAUUUAGAGCUUUCAAUUCGUUUAAUACAAAGAAUAGCUACUGGAGCGAAUUUUACCAUAACACUUCUACUAAGAAUAUUACUCGAGUGGCCUUAUAUGAUAUAGCAUUACACUUUACAGCAGAACCAAAUGAGCCCUAAUUCAACAAUAGAGGUGAAUAAAUAAGGGUCAAAUGGUCAACAUAAACAUAUUUUUCAAGCAAGGACAAUUGCAAAGCACUAUGGUUUGGAACAAAAAUUUUUUGAAUAAUUUGGACCCUUGUUGGAAGGAACAAAAGAGAAGGAUAUGAAAGAGACCCACUACCAACUUGAUACUAUUGGUUUUGGAAGGAUCAUAAAAUAUAAAGAGGACCCAUACACACCAUACACACACAAAGAAAAGAGUGGGGCUCAAAAGAAUGGUUUUGAGUGGGAAUCUACUAAUUAUCAAUGCAAUGGGGUAUUGAUUGAGAUAGGAAAGCAAUUUCCAAGCAACCUCUUUCAAUUCAAAAGCAUCUUCUUCUUUGGUCUCUAUAGCACUCUCCCUUAUCUUCCAAACAUGCACAUUGAGAAGCUUUGAACAAAUUAAUGUUGUACAAAUUGUGACCUUGGGUGGAGGAUUCUCAUUGGCCUUUUCUUUUCUUGAAUAUUGUAAUGUUGUACUAUUCAUUUCCAUUUUAUACAAACAAAAAAAAAAAAAAAUUAUGAUUAACUAAUAAUGGAUGAUUACUAAGUAGGGACAAAAGGAUUAAGUGGAAUAGCAUGGAGGUUUCAUUAGGUAUAAGGUCAUAUGUUUUGAUAAAUUGUAUAAGGUCUGCGGUAGCAAUAAAAUACUGUAAGUACGAGAAAAAAGUCCAACUUAGAAUCAAUGAGCACGAGCCUAUCCGUGUUUUACAUCCCUGCUCUUAAUAUAUAUUUCUGAGUCUGUUUCCCACUAGAUCGAUCUUUUGGAUAAUAUGAUAUAUAGUAGAGUUAGUUUAAAAUUCCUUUGUUCUGUGAACACAUAAUUAAAGCACUGUUAGACUUGCAAAACUCUAAAAUCGGUCGAUCUCUCCUCCGUCUGUCGCAUGUGUGUAUGUAAAUAGUACGUGGGUAACGAUUUUUUCUUGACCAGUUAUUUUUCAUUUUUUUUUUCAUAUUGUUGGAAAGAAAAAUUGUAAGAAUUAGCAUUAGAUAAAAACGGCAAAACUACAUCAAAGUUGGGCUCAGAGAACCAUCUAAAAGUAAAAGAAUAAUAAUUCAUAGAAACCUUUGCUAAGUUAUGAACAAUACAGUUUCCCCUGUAACUAGUAUAAACAUACAAGGAAUUGAUUAAUUUUGGCUAUGGGCUUUUAUGUUGGGAUAAAACAUGUGGGUUUGUUGUGUUGGGCCAUGAUAUAUAUCAAGGGUAAUGUUUUUUCUUAUUCUUUUAUGGUUUUCUUUUUUUUUCCCUUUUUUUAAAAAAGUGGAAUUCAUGUAAAUUUAAAUAUUUUUGGAGUUACCAAUUUAUCACAUGUAAAAAAAAAAAAAAAAAAGGUCUUUGGUUUAUUAUUAUUAUUACUUUACGGACGAAACAAUUUGGUAAGCACCAGAAUACCGCAAUGAAUACAAAAAAAAAAAUUCAAUACGAAAAAAAAAAAGAAGAAAUACAAAGAAAAAGAAAAGAUAUUGAUGUGUCCAUAUGUUAUAGACAGGUUUUUUUUUUUUUCUUUUUCCUUAAAAAAAAUUUGUAAACUUCACCUAUGCAUGAUAUGGUCCAAAUGUCUAAUCUGUGAUUGUUACAACUUUUAUUAUUUAAAAGAAUUAAUUUGAUUAAUCCAUACCUGUGCUUAUAAUUUUAUGAUGUUACUGACCUCUUUCUAACUGAUGAAAAUGGAUUGUUAAUUUAAAUCCAAUUAUAUAAUUGACUGGAAAUCCAAUUAUAUAAAAUUUAAAUAUUUAUUAUUUUAUAAUUAUUUUUAUAAAUUUUAAAUUUUUUAAUCAAGAUACUAAUUUAAAUAGAAAUAAUUUAUUAUUUAUACUUUAAAUUUUAUAUAUUUUUUAAAAAAAUUUAAAACUUUACCGACACUGCACGUCCCGUGCCUUCCGGGCCUAAGGGCCAUGCUGGACCAGAGGCUUGGUAGCUCCAGCCCGGCACGGCCCGGUUCUCGGAUUUGGAACCGGGCUUGGCCUGGCUAAUGUCAGUCGUGUCUGCUCAGCACGGCCCACAUUACACCCCUACUCCAGUCCCAACCCACCAGAAUGAAGCGAUAAGUGGGGGAAAAAUUAUAAGAUAAAAACUGACCGGUCUCAAAUCCGUUCUGACUUGCCAAGAAAACUAGCCAGGACCCAGGAUCCAUUCUGACCGGCCAAAAACUAACUACCCUGAAGUUUUGGAAAUAACUAAAAAUUGGGACAACAAAAAAUGGUACAUUAAUUUUAUAUUUGAUAAAUGGUUUAAUUAUAUAUGAUGGAUUAAUGUAGAAUUUAACUUAAGUAACUUUAGUUUGAAAAGUUCCAUUUAAUUUUUACAUCAACAACAUCUUGGACUAUGCUCAACCCAAAAAGAGGGCAUGGGCUGGUGAAGGCCUAUACUUGAGGGGGUUUCACACAUUUUUCAAAUUUUUAUAUUCCUAAUUAAAGAUUCUAGCAUGGGUAAGUGCAAUAUAAUUAAGAAGAUUACAUCAUCAUACUUAAUUUUUUUUUUAUAAAAAAAAUUGUUUUUUGUUCACUAAACAUGUGGGAGAAAGCAAGUAUGUUCUAUAAUUUUGCGACCUUUUUUCCCGUCAUUCAGAUUAAUCUAAAAUUCAUCUAUUGUUAAUUAAAGACAAGGACCGAAAUUAAGAAUAUUCUGGACUCGAAUUCAGAACCUUCUACUACUUUAAUUUUAUGUAAAAUAAUUAAUCAUACCUAAAACUUAAGUUAUUUAUUAGAAAUAAUAUUUUAAUAUUGGAAAAAUCACAAUUAGCCUUCUAUUGUUUAGCACAUAAUUAUUGCUUCACCACCUUGGGAUACGAAAAGUGUUACUUCGCUGCCACACAUUUUAUUUUUAUUUCAUCAUAAAAACUUUGUCAUUAAAAUUGCAGCAAAAUGAUACAAUUUACAAACCAAAUGAUAGGAAACUAAAAUUAUAAACUAUUAAUGUGAUAUAUUUUACCACAUAUGGUUACAUUAUUUUACUAUCCAAAUUAACAACAGAUCGUUACACUAAAAGUGACAUUUUUUGAACUGCGAUGUGACAAAGUUAAAUAUGCUAAACAACAUGGAGGCUAAGGAUUUUUUUUUUCCCUCUUGAAUAUUUUAUGUCCAACAAGGUUUAUAUAUGCAUAACAACCAAGAUUUGAUAGGUCAAUUAUGAAAAAAAAAAAAACAUUUGUCAAAGGCCACAAAAUUGAAAAACAAAAUGUGGUUUAACCUAGAGAGUUGACUUUGUUGUUGACAAGGUGAGUUGACCCCAACCACUCCAACCAAGUUGUGAUAGAGAAGUUUCAAUUUUCAACUGAAAAUGUAUUAAUUGAAAACCUAAUCUCUUAGACUUGUUCUUGAAAUUUUCAAUUGGUCUCCUCUAAUUUAUUGCUUUAUAUAAAUAUAAAUUCUUCUUUCAAAAGUUGGCUCCAUUUCCACAAAUAUAAAAACAAAUUGCUAAGUAUACUUAAAUUAAUUCAUUUAUUGAGUAUUGCAAAUCUUAUGUCAUGUUACUCGGGAUCUAUUUGACUUUGCUGUAGAGUGUAGUAUUCCCAGGUUAUUUCGAUAUAAUUAUUAUAUUACAGAAAAGACGAUAAAUUUUUUUAUAUAUGAAAUAUUGUACUGGUGAACAAAAUAACUGGGAUCAAACAAAAUCUUAGUAUAUAAUUGGCCUGGUUUAUGAGGAGGUAGCUUCUGCACUUCAAGAAGUAGUAGCUGAGCUGUUUGCCAAACAAAAAAUUAAGAAACUUUAUUAAAAGAUUUUUCAUUUCUCUCCUAAUUUAUGUAGCACAAGAUAAAUUUGUGAGGUUAAAAAGAAAAGGGAAAAAAAAUAUAUUAGUGGCUACCUAAGUAGAUUGGUGGAGCUUGGCCUAAAUUUGUUUGGUCUAAUUUGAGCCUACAAUUUGGUUUGUAUCUCUUAUACCAUUUUAUUCUAAUAAUAAAGGUCCACUAGGGCUCUACCAAACAACCUUAUAUAUAUAAUAAUAUCCUUAUAAAAAAAGGUAAAAAUAAAAACAAAUAAAUAUUAAAUAAUAAUAAUAAUAAUAAUAAUAAUAAUAAUAAUAAUAAUAAAUAAAAAAUUGUGCCCAAGGAUAUUAAUAUGCUUACUCAAUGGUUUAAUUGUUAGCAUACAAUAAUUGUGAUAUGCCUAACUCAAUUAUGUUAGCUUAGACUUAUUGUAAUAAAAUUUGUUCUAAGACAUGUUUAAAGUGUAAUUAAUCACGAGAUUUGCGCUCGACGUCGAAGUAAAAUUUUCGACGAAAAUUGAUACAUCUCUUCUUAUAGUUCUUCGAAAAGGAUCUAACUGCGAAUUUGGUUAGUUUUUUUGAAUUUGGUAAUUUUGCGAAAUCUAUUAGUAGGAUUUUGGCCAAAAAUCCACCCAAAAUUUGGGUACUAUAGCUUGAAAGGGUAAGGGAAAAUUCUAUAACCACUUAGUUAUUCAAAACACUAAAGUUAGAAGAUAAUAGAAAUUAGCACAAAGAUACUUCUAAAUCUCAAUUAAUAUAUAGAGUAGGGCUACUAUACUCUUAUGAGUAUAGAGCUCUUUGUACUCAUAAGUUGUUUUCGAUGUUAGGGUUUUCAAAUCGAUGAUCCACACCGCUAAACAGGAUCUAGAGUAUUUGAAACUUCUAGAAAAUAAAUUUCGUAAUUUUUUGAAAUCAUUAUAAAGUCCAUCAAGCAGGUAUAAAAUGAACGGUUAAAAUCAAACUACAUCCUAAAAAUGGAUGAUCGGAUCUUUCAAUUUAAGAUCGGAGUUAUUGAUCUUUAUUUAGGUAGUGAAUAGAAUUUUUGAUCAAAAAUUCAACUUAUUCCGAUUCUUUUUUACCGUUAAACUAGCAAAUAUCUCAUACCGGCCGUUAAAAAUUAUAAUUAUUUUAGCUUUUGAUCAUAAGAUAAAUGAUAUCAAAAAAUUAUAAAAUUUGAUUUCUAAAUAUUUUAAACGCUCUAGAUAAUGUUUAAUGGUAUGGAUCGUCGAUUUGAAAACUCUAUCAUCGAAAAAAACUUAUGAGUAUGAAGGCGAUUGUACUCAUAAGAGUAUAGUAGCCGGACUCUAAUAUAUAUAUAUAUAUGAGUAGGGCUAUUGUGCUAUUAGGAGCACAGCAGCCCUUAUGCUCCUAAGCUUUGUUACUUAUUCCAAGUAUACAUGCAUGAUUCAUUUGGGAGUGGUUUUUCACUACUCUUUUGACAUUGUAAAAUAUUGUAGAAUUUGAUCACUCACCUUGCUUGGUAAACUACUUGUAUUUGCCAAGUGUGAUUAACCUAAACCUCUAAUUAUCUUAAUACUAAUGUAAUGAAUCUGAGAACUCGUCGACAAUCACGCGUGCUUUGCCUAAUUCUUUCGUUUAGAGUCGGAUAACAAACCACGUUUCGAAGAUUAUAUAGUUCAAUCAAUUUCCAUGAAAUCAUAAAUCUCCAUCAUUUACCUUCAUAGUUAUUGAGUGGAAAUCCAAUUAGAUCUUAUCUCCAAAGUGAUAGCAACUCAAAUAUAGGCCAAAAUCAAUUGAAAUAACAUAUCUUAAGUGAAAGUGGCUGCUCAUUAUUCGUCGACAUCGAACAAUCUCGUAGAAAUUGACAAGUUGAUCACACUUACCUAGUUGCUUGGUAAACUUAUCUUUGCAAAGUGGCAUUGACCUUAAUUGCAUCUAAUUAUCUUAAUAAUUUAAGGACUCUUCGAUAAACACGCGUUAGUUUCACAUAGGGCAUAUGUAUAUGUGCUUGGAUCGACGAAAUUUAAUUGUCGGUGAAACUCAAGUGCAGUGAAGUUUAAGUUUCUUUAAACUUAAUUAGCAUUCCUUUUAUUUGUUUGUUUUAGUGAAAUUCGAUUGUUUGAAGUGAGGUUUCACUAUUUCUAUUAUUUGUUUUGUUGAAACUUAAGUAUGUCCUAAGUCAUAUUUUAGCAUUUUUGCUAUGUUUUUCAAUAUAAUUAAGUCCACCUAGUCUUAAAUUAAAUUUCCAAAAUAUAUGUUUUCGCACUUACGCCAAAACAAACAGUAGAAGGAAUCACUUAUACCAUAACUCUAUUAAUUUCUCACCCUUGAGUCACUCCAAUCCAAACAUAUACACCAUUAAUUAGAGUUGGAUACUUGGAUGGUUACAGAAAAUCAAAAAUAAUUGACAAUAGAGCUCAAGAUUUAUUUUAUGAAAAUUUAAUGGAUAAAAUCUCUAUCUUGUCAAAUAUAUUCUUAGAUCAGUUUUCUACUAUAUCAAUCUUAAUUUUAGAUAAUAUAGUAUCAUAACUAAUUCUAAAACCCCUUCAUUUCAUGAGGUUGUGAUCGAGCGAGUUUGAUCCUUAUCUUCGUAUAUAAAUAUUCACGAGACCAUUUCCUACCAUUUCCUCGUGCAUUUUGAGUGGAAACCCAAAUGUUCCUAACUCCAAAAGUAAUAGCACUACAACAAAAUAUGUUUUAGACAAUGCGUCUUCAAUAUUUAAUAUGUACUGACAUCAUGAUUAAGCGUCGCCAAUAAACAUAUUUUUAUCAAAUACUGAUAAAAAUUCUUCGAGGCUAUAUUAAAACGUCGGUAUAUUUAUUUUCGACAUGUUUACUUAACGACUCCUUACUUAGACAUUUUUAUGAGUGUCGGAGUUAUUCUUGUCGACGUUUUAAAUCGUCGCUAGUUAUUGUUUAAAAUGUCCUUAAAUACAAGAUUUGUUUAGUGUAGCAAUUAACUAACUCAAAAAUCAAAAAUAGGUCAAAAUCAAUUGAAAUAACAUAUCCCAAUUCCAAAAAAUGGACCAACAAAUACCAAAGUGUUUCAACAAGUGAUGGAGGGAGGUGUUGAGAUGAGGCACUAACUCAAAAGUGGGAUCCAAAAGUUGCCUUGGCAUUGGAGAGGAGUAGUCGGCAAUGGGUCCCUCCUAGCGCCGACUUUAGCACUAAGGUGGUCGGUGUUGGUGCACAUGCACAAACCAAUUUGUGUCCAGUACAAUGUGGACACAAGUGCCUAAUCAAAAACACAACAUAGUUGACCUAAUAUGAGCACUUGGUGGAGAAUUUUGAUGGUGGAAAUUUUAGGGCUAGUCAAAAGGUGGUAUAAUACUUCGGUUUACUUUCUUAAAUAAUGUGAAAAUAGGCCUAUGAAUUAAAAAAGAAAAAAAAAUUAAAUGAGACUUUGAUACCUUAUUAAAUAACAUGAAAAUUUGUUUAUCUCAGUAAGUUUUAUGUGAAAUCCUCACCUCAUUUAUUCGGGUUGUGGAUUAAAAUAAGUCUUCAAAUUGAAAAACAUAUAUAUCUCCUUUUUGUUACUCAAAGAUAUAUAUAUUUUUAUCUGCAACACCUUGCUUCAAACUCGCUCAACUUUCUUAACAUCUUAGGUAUAGCCACCGCCCAAAAUAUCAUAAACGGAUUAAGAGUUUUAGCCCUAUUAUAUCUUAUAUAAAAGAUUAUUUAUCUUUUAAAAAAAGUAUUAGAUGGACCUAGUCGGACUUGAUCUGCUCUGAUAUCAUGUAAAAUAAUUGAGAUUUUCAUGACGAGCUAUUUUAUAUAAUGUUGGGUGUGAAUUUUUUUCUAAAUUUUCUUGCCAUUUGGUGUAGAGCUUACUAUUCAAAUCAUUAUAUUUUUCUAUCAAUUUACUCCUUAAUAGUAGUAGUUGAACAAUGAAUAAUAUCAUUUUAGGUCACAUUAGUAGUAGUUGAACACUUUUUGGCCUUAAAUGUUCUCAUACUAAUCAAUUAAGAGAAAAAUCAAAUGCUUGACUAUGUAUUGCUAUAAAGGAUUAGGCACUAAGCGAAUCGCGUGCGAAUAAAAUAUAAUUUAUUUAGUGGAAAAUUGGUGAGAUCAUCUUAAAUUAGUGAUCAUAAAUGUAGAACAAUAGCAUUGACAUUUCCUUUAAAUAUAUAUAUAUAUAGAUAUAUGCACAAUGGAAUUGUAAGGCUAACUUAUAUAUGCUAUCACCUAAUUAUAAGGAAUCAAAGUGAGUUUGCUUCAUGUAUAGUUGUUAUUACUAGUUGAAGUAAUGUAGGAGAUUGAAAUACACAUUAUCACCUAAUAUUCCAUUUAUGGUGCCAAAGGAAUCUCUACUAAUUAAGAACAUUAGAGCUACCAAAUAGAUGAUUUAAUCAAAACACUUUCUAUUGAAAACUAACAUAAGUUAAAGGAGAAUUUUGUUUUUAUAUAGGCUCCGUUUGAAAUUGCAGAAAGAUCGCGUUACGUGAUCGAGGUGAAAAAAUACCAUGAGCAAAUAAUCUAUUUAUUUUCGCACGUGAUAUCCUGUUUUGCAUAUUGCGAGUCGAUUACAACAUAAUUUUUAUAAUUCCACUGAAAAACGUAAAAGCAUAUAUCGUCAUACACUUUUGCCCCAACUCUAUUUUAUCUACCAAACGGGCCCUUAGUAUACCAAAUUCCGGGGACUAUGUCUGCCGGCAUAUUUGAUAAGAACAUUCGAGCACAAUUUAAAUAUAAAUUUUGGUUGUUUAUUCUCACUCACAAAAUACUCUAAUAACAAUCAAAAAGACAGAAAUGGAUUCUCUAAUAUGCUGGGGUGCUUUUAAUAGCACCAAAUACUAGCUUGUUAGAUUAUACUCCUUUGAAUAUUUUUACUCGUUAGAUUAUACUAUUCAACCAACCAUCAACUCAACUCUAGAAGAUCAUUAUCGUCCUAAUCACACAUUUUUUUGGUUCACGGACUGAAAAAUCUAAUAAUACUAAUGACUUGGCGUUAUUAGAAGCAGUUCAAUCUAAUUUUCUCUAAUAUAGUAAAGAUAUUUGAUUGGAUAUUAUUAUUCUUAUACAAAAUAUUAAAAAAGAUUGAGCUUGGUGGCCGCUCAGAAGAUACUCUUUUCAUUUCUUUUCUUUUGCUUUUUUUUUUAAAACAAAAUAAAAAUUUAUUCUAGACCAACUUCUUUGACCAUGUCCCUCAAUAAUAAUAAUAAUAAUGAUAAUAAUAAAAAAAUUAGAUUCCUUCCUUUUUGUCCUCUAUAAAUACAUCCUCCCUCUCCAAAAAAACAAAAAAAAAAAAGAGAAAACACACGCAAAUUACGCAAACAUGACACUCCCUCUCCUCCACACCCUCGCGUCCCUCCUCGUCACGUGCUCCCGCCGCGUGUCACGUGCGGCGCGCCGGCUCCGCCCGGGCCCACCGCACUUGCUCCCCCGAUUCCUCGGCCCGCGCCGCAGAAAGAUCGCCGCGGAUAAUCAUAAUCGCCGCCAAAAACUCGCCGAGGAGGAGGAGCAGCAGCAGUGCUACGGCGAGGAGGAGGCGGAGGGGGAGGGGGAGGGGGAGGGGGUGUGGCGCAGGGCGAUACUGAUGGGGGAGAAAUGCCAGCCGUUGGAUUUCUCGGGCGUGAUCUACUACGACUCCGACGGGCGCAGGCUCGACGCCGCGCCCGCCCCGCGCUCCCCGGUUCGGGUGACUCCUCUUCCUCUCGCGGGUUCACAACGGGUCGCGUCUCUUGUAAACGGGUAACGGGUCUUACCCGUGCGAGCUUUGUAGUUGUUGUAGUAGUGUUCAUAAUUUUGUUGGUGAAAAGGGGUAUGCCGAACUUAUCUUCUUUACUAUACGAACUAUUAUUCUAAUUCGACAAUUUUUUUUUUUUGAAAAAAAAAAUUUAAAUACUGCUCAUGUGGUUUUACGCUUUUUCACUUUAGUACUCUAUGAUUUAAAAUGUAUUACUUCCGUAUCCUAUGAUUUUAUUUUUCUUUUUCCGUUAUCUUCUUUAUUAAUAUUUUUAUUAAACCAGUGUCAAAAUUAAAACCACGUGAUACUAAAGUGAAUAUUUGAUAAAUCACUGGAUACUAAAAUAAAUAUUCGAUAAACCAUAGGUGAGGUAUAUUAAAUUUUUUGUAUAUAAUUUAACGGAGAAUUAAGGAAGACGCUGACGAAAAGAAAAAAAUUGAAACCAAUAAAGUACUAAGCUGAUAUACUUUAAAUUAUAUGGUACUAAAAUAAAAAAGCACGAAACUUAGGGAAUGGCAUUUGAAAGUUAUCCUUUUUUUUUAAAUUUUAAUUUUGUUAUCUAAAUUUUUAAUUUAUUUAGUUUAAAUGAGUCAACAGCACUUUAAUUUUAAAAUUUGAAAGAAAGUGCCGGCGACGGACUCAUAUCUAACAAAUUGCAAAAUUACAUAGUAAACAUAGACAUUUUGCAUGGAUGGAUGGUUGACUCAGAAAUAAUUCAUAAUUCGACCAAGUUUUAUACAUUUUUACCUCUAUAUUUUGUUUCAGUAGAGUUUUUAUUUGUUUAAAAGUACGAUAAUGUUAAUAAAAAUUGUUACGUGACGCGUUACAUCAAAUUUUACUUGAGAAAUCAAGCUAAGCUUGGGGAUUCAUGAAUUUUACACUAUUUGAUUUCAUGUGUGAAACAAUAUCUAUGUUUUCCACUACUUUGCUACUUUUACUAGGUAUUUUUGAAUACAUGAAUAUGAAUAUUUUAUAUAGUACUCUUUUUUUGUAUUACUUAUACAAAGACUAUAACAAUAGUAUAGGAUACGCAGUUUAAAAAGAUAAAUCAAACUUGCUAAGAUAAAUCAACUGGCUACUAAAAUACAAUACGUUAAAAACUAAGUGUCCAACUAUGAUACUUUUAAAAGCAUAAAGUAUUUAAUGCUUGUAAAUUUUUCUUCUUUAAAUUUAUUUUUUGAUUAUUUUUAUCAGUUAGAUUAUACUAUUUAACCAACCAUCCACUUAAUCCUAAAGAAUCACUAUCAUUCUAACAGCACAUAUCUUAAUGUAAGAGCCGAAAAUCUACUAGCAUUAAUAACUUAGUACUUUUAAAAACAUAUGAACUCAAUUCAAAAAACUAAUAUCUAACAAAUUUAUAAAUCAUAAAAUUAUAAUAGUUUAAAAACUAAUAUCUAGAAUGUAACGUGAAACACAAUUAAAUCAUCUAUUGUUAAUCACCCAAACAAAGUUGAUUCACACAUGCAUGAAAUAAGAAAAGAAACACAAUCGUGUUUUCAUAUAAGAGGCUUUUGAAGUUGCAAUAAAUCAUCGGAUAAAAGCUCUGCUCUGUUCUGUUUUUUUUUCCCCCUAUUUUCUGAUCCAAAAUGUUGAGAUCAAGUAGGGGAAUAAGAUGAAAUUAAGAAAGAUAAAAGAUAUAAGAAUCUGUUAGCAUGAAGGCCUCUGUACUGCCAAAUUAUUUUCAAUUAUGCAGCUUCCAACUCGACUAUUGAUUCCAUUAGACUUGAUCUAUACUAUUGUUAAGUAUUUGAAAACUAAAUUUCAUAAUUUUUCGACGUUAUUUACCUAUCAAAUGAUUAGUCUAAAAAUAAACGGCUGAAAAUAAAAAAAAAUCUUAUAAAAAAUAAUAAUAAAAGACUUAAAUUUAAAACAAGAGAAACUGAUUUGCGCUUGAGAGCGAAAAGAUUCAUACUUAAUCAGAGAAAUUGCACAAGAGCUUAGUCUAAUUAUGCAAUUAGUCGAAACGGAACUCUUAAUUAUCUGAAAAAAAAAGGAAAAAAGAAACAUAUUUUCAACUCUCCAAAGGAAUGAUAACACUAUUAUUGACAGCGAAAAGGAUUCAUACUGUAUCAAAUGAAUUGCGCAAAGAAACAAAGAAAACAAAAUGAGAAGAUAAACUUGUAAAAUGCUACGCAUCAGAUCUCUUAUGCAUUGCAGUAAAAUCCCAGAGAGCUUACCUGCUCAAAUUUGACUACACGUCGCUGAAUCGCCAUCUGCGCACAGCCUGCUGCAGAACUUCUGCUCUAGCCCGAUUCCGCAUUGCCUCCUCUUCUACCCAGCACCUGGUUUGCAUUAUUUUGAACAAAGGAAUUCAAUAUAGUAUAGUCACACCUCUCUACCUUGCUCGAAAGGUUUCCGGUAACCAUAUUGAUUUCGCGGACCAUUAGAGACAUGGUAUAUGAUUGCAAAAUCGAAAAAAAAGAGGACCGAGUUAAAUCACCUGAGAAUAUAGAGAGCCUCUUUCUCGGCUUCCAAUAUCGACUUGGCUUCAAUUAUCGCAUCCUGCUUGCUUCGCAUAUCAUCGUGUAACUUCUCCAAAUUUAGUUGCUCGGCCAUAACAUUAGCUCUCUCAGCAGAAAGCUUAUCGCACAACCCGUCAACUUCUUCCCUUAAGGCCGAAAGCAGCUGCUUCUGACAAUCCAAAGCAGCUCUCUCUUUCAGGUAAGAAGCCCUGCUUUCCUCUUGAGCUAAUUUCUCCUUCUCUAACUCAUCUAAAGCGGUCUGAAGAUCCUUCUCGGCCUCAAUUUCACGGUCUAUCUCCUUUUUUAGCUUCUCAUCCCAAUAACUCUGAAUUUCCCCUCUCUGAAUUAACUCUGCCCCGAUUUCCUCCAUUUCAGCUAGCCUUGAUGAAUUUUCUGCUUCGAGUCGUGACAGUUCAGCACGGAUUACUUCGGCCAUUCUGCCGCUGAUUAAUGCUACUGCUGCCUGUGCCUUUGUUACAGGUUUAUGGGGCUGAAGAAGCCUAAUGUUUCCUGUUGAAUAUGAAGAAAAUUACAAAAAAAAAAAAUUAAAAAAAAAGAAAGAAAUGUAAGACAGAUUUUGAUUACUUGUCAAAAAAAAAAAAUAUCAACGAAAAUUGAUCAAUAGUUAAAAUUCAGCACAGCCGCAAAAAAAUAUGGAAAUAUAUAUAUUCUUCUUAUUGGUCAUAGAGUAGGCCAUUUUUUCCAGCUAUAAGAUUAAGAAGAAGUACAUCGUAUACAUAGUACAGAACCAUACGAGAUCACAUGGACCAGUAAUCUGGUAUACAUGGAUUCAAAAUGGAAAGGAAAAAAAAAACAAUAAGAACCGCAUUACGAAUAACUGAUCCACAACUAUAUGCUAGUAAAUGGUCGUAUACUUCCAAUCUACAGUUUGAUCCAAUGCCUUGAGUUGAAAUGGACAGGCUUAUAUUCUAGGUGGUUAUUGUAAGAAAUGUUUACUAGAAAACAUGCUAUCAUCAUAAAUGCGUACUAAGAAUCUAGGUGUCACGGACACAAACACGGGACAUGAAAUAAGACACGAUUCAGACACAGCAACUCGAUAGAUUCUAAAAAAUUAGGAUACGGAUAUGACAUGGACACCACAAAUAAUAUUAUUAAUAUAGAAAUAUAUUUAAAAUAUAUAAAAUAUAUAUUUUACUAAAAUAUUGUUAUAUUUCUCAUACGAAGUUAAUAAAAUUCUCAUUAAUAGUUCAUAUAUUAUAAGGAAAAAAAUUCUCCACCAUAAAUAGUUUAUUUAUAUCCUCCAAAAAGAAUUUGGAUGCAUUCAUCAAAAAGCCAAAUAUUUAUCAUAUUACAUUAUAUUUGCAUUAAAAAAAAGUAAAAUAUGUUCUUUUUUUAAUUGGAUGUGCUAUGGAAGCGAGCAUUGGUGUCGGACAUGCCUGUGAUACAUAGACUAGAAAACAUCCUAGAAUUCAUAGAUGUAAAAUUGAGAAUUUCUUGAACAUUGGGGAGUCCAGAUUGAAAUUUGAAAAGUAAUACAACUUCAGCACAAAGAGUGAACUUAAAAGGGGACAUAUAAUUUAAAUCAACUUGCAAGCAACUUAAAAGAUAUAUUUCAGAAGCGAUGAAAUUUCAAAUAUACGAAUAGCCUUCCUCAAGAGAAUCAGGCCAAAAAUAUGCCUAACUGUUCAUUGAAAGAACCAAUUGGAGGGAUCCAAUAUAAGAAAGAAAUCAUAAAUUCAGAUUCGGUCAUAUAUUCUGAUUUCUUGGAAAAGAUGGGAGUUCGUCAAUAGAAUUUCAGACUUUGAUUUUCGAAUUUUAAGAAAUCAAAUGUAUGACAGAAUUCUUUAUUGGGGUAGUUUUGGCUGCCAGUCCAACGACUGAUUUCACCUGGCUGGAGCUUUGAAGAAACGUUGUUUGAAUAGAACUGUUUGAAAAAGUACUGACAGUUAACCUAGUAAGUUCCCCAACAGCUUCACACUGUAGAAACAGAACGCUAAUUUCAGCUUCCCGCCGCAGCACAACCUCUGGAGCAACUAUUUGCAAGCAGCUGACCAAACAAGCAUCGAACCAAAAAUGAAACAGAGGAUAAUUUGUAGGUCAUACCAAAAACUCUCCUGAGUAUGCUCCUUUCACCACCCAUAAAGUCCACCAGCAAUUGUGUUGGUACAUCAGAACAAGCACUCAAGUCCAAAAUGCCCACCUCUUCCCUUAAUAUCUGGACUGUAAUCAAGUCAGACUUUUGCAGCAGCAAGAAACCAAGCAGCAUCGUACCAAAAACAGGAGGAAAGAAAAAAAGCAAAUUUGAACAGUUGUUGUUUAAGUACAUUAAUACCUUUUCAUCCAUUCCAGGAGUGAACGAAUACUCUAGAAAGGUUUUCCACCUCAUCAGAUCAAGUCGAGAUAAAUAUCUACACGACAACAUAAGCAGCUAAUGAUAAAGACAAGCAAAAUUAAAAAGUGAGAAAUUACAUACAUAAACCAGAAAAUUUUUAGUUGGUAAUUACAUAUGUAUCCCAGUAAAAUCUGCAUUUUCCUACAUCCCCCUUCAAAAUUUUCUUAAAUAUAUAUUCUUUCACCGACAAAAAUACACCUCUUUAAAAAAAUUUCAAACACAAAAACCAACUUGCCACAUGAAUCGGAUUCCUUUUCAAAAAACUGCAGCAUAGAGGGAAAAGUCAGCUUUUGACAGCAUGUAAAUGUAAUAACAUAAUAUUGUAGGGGUAUAUAUACAUAUAUAUAUAUUUUUAGAUAAAAGCUCCAGUAAUGUAGGAUGAAUACACCCAUAACAAUAGAGAAACAGCCAGUGUCUAAAGAUAGAUACCUUUCUGGGAAAAAAUAGAAAUUUCCUAGACCACCAGAGUCACCAAUAUAUGAAGAACCGACAUAUGUGAUCUUGCUGUCAACGAUGCCAGAUUCUCCUAGUGCUUUUGAGCACAAAUUGAUCUUAUCAGAUUAUGAGAUUUCUAACAGAAACAACCGUACAGUUUGUCAAAUACACAUUGCGGACAACUUACACUGAAUAAACCAGAAAUCAGGAUCAUCAACAGGCACAUCAUCAAAAGCAGUUGCAGCCGCACUAGAAACCAAGAUGUUUGGAAUAAUUUUGUGCCUUCUUUUCCUGCCAAGAUCAUAUUAUAAACUAACAACAAUAUUAGUUUUCUAACACAAAAAUUUCAUAUAACCAAAACAAAAUUAUAUUUACAUCUAUGCCCCGCAAAAUUAUCUCCCUCUAUACACAAAUUUGAAUUUCCGUUUGCGCCUUAUAUAAUCCCCAUGUAACAAACAAGAUGCCUCUUUUUUAAUUCAAAAUUAACUCCCCAAGCAACGGAUGACUCGCCAACUUAAGAUAACAGUAUUUAUGAAAGAAUCUGCACUUUUAAAGGGUAUAAACGAAAUUCAAAUUUUAGAGGGCAUAUUUGAGAAUACAUAAUUUUCUAAGAAUCUGUACGUAAAAGACCCAACAAUAAAUUGCUAAAAGCUUGGUUGUAUUGGACAAUUACCUCUCUAACUUCGAGUUUACUUUGACUAACCAUCUUGCAAAUUCCCUCCUGGUACACAAUUCAUCGGCAUUGACAUCAUUUUCAAUGAUCUGAGUACCAUGAAAGUUAAUUCAAAAGUCCAUGCUCAGAACUGCAGUACAACAUUAUUUCUACCAAAUAAGAAAAUUAACUCAAACCUAACUAUGUUUAACAUCACAUGCUAAACAUUGCUUGUUGUUGAUAAUUAAUAAAUUUAAGUGCGAUUUUUCAAUCAUAUAACGUCAAACAGAACAUUAGAUUAGAACGUAAGCUUUUCUAAAGUGGAGCUCUUUAAUCAUUAGGCUUUCUAAAAGCAUUAUAAGCUAGUAAAGUGUGUCAGAGAGGAAGAUAUUUUGGAGAUGUGACAAAGAAAUGAAGACAAAGUAUUACAAACCAUACAAAUAGAAUAUCAAAGAAGGAUAAACAAGACAACCACUUGCGUAGUCUUUAUUAAAGAAAGGAUAAACAAGAUAGCCACUUGCGUAGUCUUUAUUUAGAUAGCCUUCCUUUCCUGCUGACAACUUAAUUUUCCCCCUUUCUUGCCAUUACGGACAGUUCAUUAGUUCACUAGAAAAACCCUAAAACCAUACUAAUCUUACGCUUAUGAAUUGUGAAGAUGAUAUUAAAUGAACCAUUAGAUAACUUACCCUAGACAGGUGCUAAAGAUCUUAGAGAGAAACACUAGAACCACAAAAUUUCUCAGGCCCAAUGAAAAUUAAUAUGCCAUUGACAUAAAAUAAUCAUGUGCAUGCAACUAUACAUUGUUUAAUUGAAACAAAAAUGUCAAAUAAUGUCACUAAAUGAGUGUGUUCUUAUUACAAACCUGUAGUUUCUUCAUAACAGAUAAAGCUUCCAACUGUGCAGAAUCAGGGGAAAAUGGAACAUAGACUCGUUUGCAACCUCCAAAUGCUAACGUGCAAACAUAUAAAACCCCACAAAUAAAAAAAGGUUAGUGGUGCACAAAAAUGCUGAUUAAAAUGGAAAGGCAAAGAGAUAUAUAAAAGAAUUGAGUUACAAUUGCAGCUCAAUUAUUUCAAACUGUCUUUGUUUGGGACCUUGGGCCGGCUUAUACAACAGCUCCUCUACUCUAAAAAGCAUGCUGCAAAGCAUUUAGAAAGUGGCUGAAGCUUUUAUUGUGGCUGGAAUCUACACUAAGCUUCAGGGGCCUGAAAACUUAGCACUACUUAGGGCAUAAACGCUUCUGCCUUUGCAGCAACCAGAAGCAGUUAAAAGAGAUCUUGUGAAACAGCUAUUAGUGUUUCUUCAACAGCCCAUUUGGCAGCCUGAAGAGCUGCAAGAGCUCUAGUACACUCCAUGUAGUGUUCAAACUAAAAUGCAAGCUAAAAACACAAAAGCAUUUGGGAAAUCUACAGUUUCAAAGAAAGAUAAAGAGCAUGCAACUGUUUAGAAAUAGAAAUUGAAAAUUAUCUUUAUAGGAAAAAAAAUUUUAGGUUUUAACUUACUGAACAAAAUAAUUGUACUUGACUUCAUUAAUCACAAAACUUGCUAGCCAACUUACUUAACUCUUAAUCAACUUACAUAAUCGAUAUAAUGAGUAUGAGGUGCACAAAGGCAUAACCACACUUGACCAAUCAUAGUUGAAUAUCAAAAGACAGAUCCUCAAUUAACUGAACGCGAGAAAAGCCUAAUACUCUCAAAAGACAUGGAAUCAGUGAAGAUCACAAUAUACAGUGACAAAUGUAAUAUCCUUUUUUCUUUCUUCAUUUGUUUACACAGUUUUCUUAACAAGUAUGUUAUUUUAAUUCUCAGAUACAAAAAUUUGGAUAACAAAAUCAAUGCAGUGAGACCCCAAAUACUGUGAUACCUUGCCUUGCCCAACACAUAAACUGAUUAGAGUUUUGUAAACAAAAGAAGCUAUAAGUCUAUAACUGUUCAGAAAUAUGUAAAAGUUCGCGCUCAAGUACCAGUGGGAAGAUUAUCAGCAUCAACCUUCACAUCUUGAUUUCCCUUGGAAUCUUGUUUAACUUCCACUUCAGUGUUUCUGAAAUCUUUAUCAGGAUCUCUUGAAGACUCCCCAGGUACAAACUUCUCAUAAAGUGUAUGAAAUGGAGCAGUCAGGCAAAGCUUUAAACCUGGAAAGUUUAUUGCCUGUCAGAUACGCUAUUCCUGUAGCAUGAAAGCAUAACAAAAUAACCCUCCAAGCUGGAUUAGCAAACUCCAUUUACUAAAACAACUACUUUUGCAAGUAAAUCUCAGUAGCAGUGGAACUAGUUCCCUGAAACAUUAUCUGCGAAAUAGAAACAAUAUGCCAACAAAUAAAUGUGACUUUGCCAAACAUUAUAAGAGGACACCAGUUUACAGUGAAGCCAAAGCAGAAAAGUAACCAUCUAUGACAUUUAAGGCAUGGCUAAGUGCUAAAAGUUGCAAAAGAGGCAUAAAAAUGUGCUUCAAUGAUAAAUUAGAGAAAUACAAUUGUUCUUAGUACACAUUCCAAAUAUAGUGACUUAAUGGCCGCUUCAAUAGUUUGAAUGAUCAAGAAAAGAUCAGGUCCUUAGCUACUUCGCAUGCGAUCAAAAUACUAGUAAUGAUGCAUGACGCAUUCAACAAUAAAGUAAAUAAGCUAAAUGCUCAACUAAAUAGAAAAGCAAUAAACUUCAUCAACUAAGUAGGAGUUACAGGUAAAUAAGCUAAAUGCUCAAGUAGGAAACAAAAUCAGUUCCUUCUCCAAGUCAAACCACAUUAUAACAACAGCAUCAAAUCCUAUAUGCUAACCAAAUGCUAAUGCAACCUCAAGAAUCAGGAAAAAAAGAGGAUAAAGUAGCGCAACUAGAACCUUUCGUUGACAUUGAGAAAUAUGUUAGGGCAGCUAACAACACCGCCAUUGGAGCCCCAAUCCCAACAAAAAUUGCUUUCCAUGAUCCUACAACUAAAAAUUAAAGAAUAACGAAGAUAAAGAUUAUUCUUUCUCAACUAAUUAACCAAAAAAUCUGAAGAAAAUUCCAAAAAUUCACCCUUUCUCUCUUGUAAUUCCGGAUUAAUAGUGAACCAACCGCCGAACCCAUCAUCGAUCAAGCUUGCAUCCGCAGGAACCGACCACGAUUCGAGCUUCGUACCCGCAAAACAAAUCCGAGGAGAGAAUCGUCUAUUUGAGGCAUUUGAGAACCCGUAAGGAGCCAAUUGAAGGGCGGAGAAGGCGAAAUCGGAGACGAAACCCUUCGUCGGAAGGCAUGGCGAGUGGAGGCGGAGGGAAGAACCCAUUCGUCGUGCGAAUUGGAAGGGAUUACAGCAACAUUUUGGGCGAAUUGGAUCUAUCUUUCUAGGGUUUAGCGGAGGUUUGGGGCCUGGUGAUUAGGGUUUGGGGGAGAGAGAGAGAGAGAGUGUGUGUGUGUGAGGGUGUUUCGUUGUUGUCGAUGCGUGGGGAGAGAGGUCGUGGCACGUGGGAAAGAGGGGAUGUGCUACACGUGUGAAGGCCCCACGGUGUAAUCGUGGUGUGGUGUCACGGACUCACGGUGUGGCACUGACAAGUCUGACAUGUGUGGCCCACCCAGAUGAUUUUUUUUUUUCUAAAUGCAAGAAAUAUCUGAAUAUAUAUUUUAGGAUUAAUUUAGUACAGUUUCCUACAAAUAUAAUAAUAAAUUGCAAAUAUAUUUAUACUGAAUUAUGUUGCAUCCUUUUGUAUAUUAUUACUGUUACUUCAUAAAUAGUAAUGAUCUUUAAGAUCAGAGGUUCAGUCCUUCUUAUUUUAAACUAAGAUUUUAAGCGUCGUCGACACAGACCGCGUCGAUGGCACAGCUCAAAACCCUUUAUUCUUUAAAAUAAUAAAUAAUUUUCUCAAUAAAAUUUAAAAGAUGUAAUAAAAAAUGGUAAUAAAUAGUUAGAAUAUUUUGUUGCUAAAGAAAAUAAAUAUUUCAUGCUAUUAUGUGACGGCACAAAAAAAUUUUUUUGACCGACACGCAUCGAUACGACUCGACACGCACCGUACCGACAAGUUUCUAGCACGACCCCAUACCAUGGCACUUAAAUUCUUGUUUUAAACUUCUCGGUCAGGGCCUGUGGACAAGAUCCGAAAGAAGGAAAGAAGAUAAAUAAAUAGAUAAAUCAUUCCCAGUCAGUUAAUAAUUCAUAUAUGAAUCAUGUAUAAGAUCAAGCAAUUUAAAUCCCAAAAAUUUCAGAUAAUAAUUACAUGUAGACAAGGUUGAUACUGUUAAAAUGCAUGAAAGGGACCAUAAUACUUUUGCUUCAAGAACUGCAGUUUCAGAAAGCAAAAAAAAUACUUAGCUUCUUGCACUGAGAGCUCUACAAUGAACAGUUGAUUACUUCUCUACUAAUCACAAAAAAUUCGGAUUCUUCGCCUUCAGACAGUAAUCUCUUCUCUCUCAACCAUCCUCUUUCUUUCCGCCUCCUUCCGACUUCUCUCACCGACGGCGUCAGAAAUCGCCUUUGGUAACAAAAAUCCGGGGCGUUCGAGGAACGGAGCUCUGUCGAGAACUAGCGGCUCUCUCUGCGUAACUUCGAUGCCGUCGAAGGUCCAUAGCUUCAAACGGGCGUCGCCCUUUAGGCCCAACGAAUACCAUCCGAGACCGGAAACUGCAAUAUCCGCACAGUUCGCUUCCCAGCUGUUCCCGGAAAGCUUUAUCUCUCUGUCUUUCCAUUCGCCGAGUUCGGCAACCCGCUCCUGGCCAAUAGGUGGCUGGAAAACAUACAACAAAGAUAUGAAUAGUACUUGAUCAUUAACAAAUGAACAUAAAAUGAUGAUAAACUCUGGCCAAAGAGGCAAUUUUGCAGGUAUAUAAGGGUAUAUAAAUGUUGGAAGCUCAGUUCAGGAGCAUCUUUUAUGUCAAUACAUCUCUAUUAGGAUAUAAUUUGCAUGGUAAAAGAGAGAACUUCGGAUCAAAUAAUCUUAAUUCAAAUAGCAGUGAGGGAAUAGAGAUCUCAUCUCACCUGUAAUCUGACGCCAAAAUGCUUAUUCCUUAAGUCGUCGGCAUUCUCCGUCUUCCCCAUAUGAAGAGAAGCAUAAGGAGACGCCCAAACCGUCACGUAAAUCGUUUCCACAGAGGCCUCGAUUAGGUCCAAUCUCAUUAAACCACCCACGUGGACCGUUUGCCCCACCUGCGACAGUGAAAAAGAUGUCUCUCUUGAGUUCAACUCUCAAGUAAAAUAGCACAUAAAUUUUUCUCUGUGCAUAUUUGUGUAAUAACUGGAUUCGUAUUACCAAAUGUUCGAAAUUGAAAUUUAUGCAUUUGUAAGCAUAGGGCUAAUUGCAAGUUUGCGGAGAAAUCUCUCUUUACAACCUUUGCCUACUUUUCCUCCACCCAAAAAAGAAAAAAAAGAAAGAAAAAUAAACGAUGGUUAGAAAAUUUAAAAGAAAUUCAAACCAAAAUAAUUUGUUUCAGUAGGUGCCAAUCAUCUCGAUUUCCGUUAAAAGAGGCCAAACAAUAACAACUAGGCCAGGGCAAUGUUAUUAGGAACUAUUUAGGACAAGCCAAUUUACUUAAUCACCCGUAGAAAACAUUAAGACAUACCAAAAGUUCACUUACACAUCAGAACUUCGACUAUUAAAACGAACAUCGGAAGUACGCUGGCACUCAAAAAAUAUCUUACAGUACUCAAUAUGCAGCCGGAAAAAGGAAGAAAUGGAAAUGCUAUAUGUACGAAACUCCGUUUGUACUUGCGGCACAAAUUAUAAUUCAAGGUACAAAAGAUUGCGUACAUUUGCAAAUUUAUGUAAAGCAGAUAUCAUCUAAGGAAAGCCAUCCUAUGGCUGAUGAAACAUGAGAGAAUACAAACAAACAAAAAGAGGAGAAGACUAACUUUUCCCAAAAAAUAUCGACUUUUUAGGUGGAGAGUGCAGGUUGUAUAUGCCCAUACGAGUUUUUGUGUGAAGGAUUUAAUCGUGCAUGGAAGAGAAGAAUAGGGCAACGACAGUGUAACACUAAAUGACUAAUUUUCUAUCUGAAGAGAGAAAUCUCGAUCAUCUUUCCCAAGGUCCAUCAUCACCUAGGGGCUAUUUCUUUUCCCACAAUUAAUUUUCAGGCUAAAAAUAACUUUCAAUUGAACUAAAGUUCCAGUAAAAGUUAUUUUUCUACCUUUGUUUGUUUGAUAAGAAUUUCCUUGCUUUGGUUCCACUUUCUUAGUUUGUUUUACAAAAAAAUUCCACACUAGCACAUAAAAGGGUGAAAAAACAAGUUGCAGGUGAAUUUCAAACCAAACAGCAGAAGUGGGCAUUUAUGGUCGAAUACAACUUCCCCUCCUCCACUUUUGGUGAAACAAACUGCCUGAUUCCAUCUCACAUUACUAUCGUAUAAUUGAAGUUCAAAUACUCGGUGACAUGUAUUGUUAUCAUAAGAAAUCAAUUUAGAGCUCUAGAACUAAGUAAUCUGCAAAAUAUAUCAAAUAUCUGCUAGGGAUGACACGAAAUUCUCAUCUUUAUGUUCACAAACAGCUAUACUAAUAAACUAGAAAACAUUUCAUCAAGUCACCAUUAAAGAAGAACAACCAGAAACAAAUUCAUAUCAUUCCAAUUUAGUAUUUCAUAUAGAGAUAAAAACGACUCACCUUUACUCUAAAAGUCCGAGGCUGUAAUUCCUUCCUGAUCUCCACCAUCUUCUGCUCCUCUCGACUUAAUCUCAUCGUCAUAAUAUACGGAUGCAAAAGACCUGGCGUAUCAUACAUCUUCGCUUUCGCAGGUAAAACCCCUGUAACCCUCAAAAUACCCAAUGUAGUCCCCGGCACUGCAGCCUCAGUCAAUCUCGUAAUCUUAACGCCUUCUCUCUUCGCAAACGCAUUAAUCAGAGUAGAUUUUCCAGCAUUUUGUGCGCCAACUACCCACACAUUUCCGCGAGGACCUGCCAAUUCCUUUAUAUAAGAAAUCAAAUUCCUAACUCCGAGAUCUUUGCGGGCACUCACCAAAUAAACUGCAUUAAGCUUAGGGGCUCCGUUCGCCUUGGCGCGGUUACGAACCCAUCGAUCCAAUCUUGUUGGAGAGAUCUGUGAGGGUAGAAGAUCAACCUUAGUUGCCACAAGAACAAGUUUCGGCAGUUUAGUUGUCUUAGUGUUCUUGUUGCUUCCCUCCAAUGCCUUAAACAAAGAUUUUGCCGCUCUCUUAGGGAAUGAUCCAUCGAAAUCCACACAAUCAACAACUAAAACUACAACAGGAGAACUAUUCGAAGGUUUCAUCAAUCGGGUCGAUAUGGACCGAUCGAAAUCGAAGUCGGGGAUCAAAUUCUCGGCCUUUUGGUUCUUCACCUGCCCAUAAUUCCUCAGCGAGUGGCACCGCGCACACACUACCGCCGAAUUCUCCAUUUCCAUCCUUUUAGCUUCUUCUUCUCUCAUCUUUCUCUUCUUCUCCGAUUUCGACAUCUUCUCCUUCUUCAUCUUGCUCAGUGUCUCCUCAGUAACAUUUCCAUACCCGACUCCCGCGGGGGCGAAACCAUCCAAUUCCCUCUUCAACCUCUCCUCCUCAUCCUCCUCAUCCAGCCAAUCCGAAUCCCAAUCAUCUUCCUCCUCCAAAUCCUCCACCAAACCCUCACCAAGAUCAAAUUUUGACGACGACCCAUCAACACCCUCAUCCAAUUCAUCCAAAAUCUCUUCGGAAUCGGAGAAAAGGGGGUCCUCGGAACCGUACCCGGUGUCUUCGUCCGGAGAUGGCGACGAGGGUUUCUGGUAGUAUCCGGGGAGGUUGGGGUCGGAUUCUUGCAUGAACACGCCGCAUCCGGGGCAAACGAGGCGCGCCUCGUCCUCGUCCCUCCCUUCGCUGAACAAUCGGGAGGUGCGGAGCGAAGCAUGGAGGAUCGGGGCCGGGGUUCGUGUGGAGGAGAGGGAGAAGGAGAGUAAGCGUUUGUGGAGAAGAAGAGAGAAGGGGAGGAGGAGGGAGGAGGAGAAGAAGGGGGAGAGGAGGGAACGAGGGAUUAGGGUUUUACGGCCAUGAGAGAGGAGGAGGGAGGAGGUGGCGAGGCGAGAUGCGGAGGGGAAGAGGACGGUUUCCGCCAUGGGAGGGAGCUCGACGAGCUCCGAGUGUGAUAUCGUGGGGGGGUAAUUUUAGGGAGGGAGCGUUCUUAAAAAAUGCACAUACACCCCUUAAUUCUACUAUUUUUGUAAAAGGUCCUUAAAUUUUUACUUUGGUUAUUAGACUUUUUUAGACUUUAUAAAUUCGCCUAAUUUUUCCAUUAAUUAUUAUACUCAGAAAAUUAAUUUUUUUAUAAUUAAAAAGCUCGGUUAAGUUAUAAGUAGAGGAGAUUGUUAAAAUAUUUGAUGAAGUUAAAAAAAUUAAAUAUCACAAUUAAAAGUUCAGGUCCUAUUUGACAAAACGGGUAAAGUUGGGGUUUAUACACUUUUUUUUUCCUAAAUAUGUUUAGCAACCCCCACAACUAUACGUAAUUCUGAAAUCGCCCCUCACUUUCGCCUUAUUACCCUUUUAUCUUCUACAACUCGAUCUGCGUCAUACCUCUUCUUCUUCUUCUUCUUCUACCCCCGCCUCUCUCCUCCCCAUCCCCCAAAACCCUAACCCUAACCCUAGAAACCCCACUCGAGAUCUCGCCAAUGUCCCACCGCAAGCGCCCCGCCGAUGCCUACCCUGUCCCAGACUCCGGCGCCGGCGACGGCCCCAAGCGCCGCGGCGCCGACGCCUACCCCGUCGCCGACUCCGGCGCCGGCGACGGUCCCAGGCGCCGCGGCUCCGUCGCGUCCUUCCCCUCCUACCUCGACGCCCCGGAGCUCCCCGCGAAGCUGCGGCUCAUCUGCGAGCUCCUCGCCUCCGCCCCCUCCGCCGCCGCCGUGGAGCCGCUCCUCGACGGCGCCGCCGCGUCGAUCCCCUCCCUCUCCCACUCCGACGUCGAGCACGUCCUCCGCCUCUCCUACUCCCACCCCGGCCCCGCCCUCGCCUUCUUCCGCUGGUCCGGCGCCCGCCACCUCUCCCACCUCCACUCCCCCUACUCCUGGAACCUCCUCGUCGACCUCCUCGGCAAGAACCUCCUCUUCCCCCCCAUGUGGCACGCCCUCCACUCCAUGCACUCCCUCAGCCUCCUCUCCCUCGCCACCUUCGCCUCCGUCUUCUCCUCCCUCGCCUCCGCCUCCGCCUCCCCUCCCGACGCCCCGCUCCAGGCCUUCCUCUCCCUCCCCUCCUUCGGCCUCCCCCGCGACUCCGCCGCCCUCAACUCCCUCCUCUCCGCCCUCUGCCGCGCCGGCCGCGCCGCCGACGCCCGCGCCGCGCUCCCCCGCGCCGCCGCCGCCGCCGCCGGCGCCCGCCCCGACGCCGACUCCUUCGCCAUCCUCCUCGAGGGCUGCGAGGCCGACGCCGAUCCCCGCGCCGCCCGCCAGGUGCUCGACGAAAUGCUCGCCACCCUCGGCUGGGACCCCGCCUGCGCCGCCGCCUUCGACUCCUUCCUCGUCACCCUCCUCGGCGCCGGCCCCUCCCCCGCGGCGGGCCUCGCCGACGCCCUGCAGGCGUUCGACGCGAUGCGGCGGAACGGCUGCUUCCCCGGCAUGAAGUUCUUCCGCGCCGCCAUCCGGUCCUGCGUUGCGGCCCACGACCCCCGCGCGGCCGCCGCGCUGUGGGAUGCCCUGUCGUCGCGGCCCGGGUGCGCGCCCGACACCGCCUUGUACAAUUCGAUGAUCUCGCUCCAGUGCUCCCUCGGCCAGGCCGAAUUGGCCGCCGCCCUCCGCUAUCUCGAUGAAAUGGUCUUUUACGGGGCGUUCCCCGACGCCGAAACCUACGAUCUGUUGCUCCACCACCUGCUCAGGGGCCGCAAGUUGAGCGAAGCCGCCGCCAUUUUCAUGGAGAUGGUGCGGAACGAGCACUGCCCGAGCACGGGCAGCUGCCAAUCUGCAGUUAAGAUUUUUUUGGAUGCGGAGGAUUGGGAGACGGCGGAGAAGGUGUGGAGGUGCAUGGUCGAGAAUGGAUUGAAGCCGGUGGAGGAGAGCGGAAACAUGAUCGUGGAGAGGCUAAGAGGCAGGGGUUUGCUCCCGGAGGCUUGGAAAUUUGCCGAGGAGGUGAUCGACAGUGGCGUCAAGUUGUAUUCCUCGACACUUUCGAAGCUGCGGCACAGCCUCACGAAAGUCGGUAAGGGAAGUAUCCAUGAGUACCUCCUUAUAAAAUGGAAAGCUCAUUAGAAUUACGGUUAUGUUAUUUUGUUUACUUGCGUAUUUGCUUUGAUAUUAUAUCUUUGCAUAGAAAAAGAAUGCUAUUUAUGUGCAGGCUAUGUAACAUUAGAGAUAAAAUCUUCUUAGGUAUAACAUGGUAAAUAGUCGAUAAAGAGGAAUCUGUUUUCCGAGAUCGCUCUUUGCAAAGCUUCUUUCACAUAAAACUUGUUGAAAUUUACUUGUCUGAUUCUUCUCUUCCCUUAUCUUCUUAUGAUUAUGAAUCGUGACUCUUUCUGCGGCAUGGAUCGAUUCUUUUACCUCCGUUAUCAGCAUUUAUUCCAUGAACUUUUAUGAAUCGGUGACGGUAGCGUAGGAAUUACCACAAUUGAUUGAUGACCUGGUUUAAUGAAAACAACUUUCUCUAACCUUUUAUCCUGCAUUUGUGGUAUGAAAAUAGUUAGUUGAGUUUAUCCCCUGUUUUCUCCCAGUUGAAUAGCGCCUAGGGGAUAAAUUUUUUCUAGUCGUGGUCAGGAUAGCACGGCGUGCUUCAAAAAUUCGUCUCAAACAUUAUCGAAGUUACGAAUAUGCAGAAGUUGCGUAUGAUAAAUCAAGGGUGGUUACUGCAUAUUAUGAUUAAGUGUCUCUGCCACAUAGAGUUAAAAGGAUUGUUGAUAAUGUUUUAUGCAAUGUCCUUGUAGAGCUCUUUUCUUGUUUGUUAGGAAAUAUUUAGUAAUAGUGAGAAUGACUACCUUAUUGAAGUAAUUAGUGAUUUUAAACCUACUCAAUGAGAAGCAAUAAAGAACAAAGCUCAAUAUGUUCUGAAACUAGGUUUUACCUCGACUAUUCCAAUAUUAUAUAUUUAUUUGAAGAACUUGAAGACCUUUUAACAAAUAUCUGAAACGGGAAGGCGAAGCUGCCGAAACAGUUGAUACUACUGAAAUGUGUCCUUUUGGCAAAGGACCGAAAUUUAAGGCAAUACCAAGUUUUCUGACUGCCAUAAAGGUCUUUACGUAGUCAACGGAUGGAUGAUGAAAUGCCAUAAUAUGCCUCGGAGAACCUUUAAAGCCAUAGGAGUCAUUGUAGGUCUGUUAGGAGUGCAUAUUUUUUAGCUAGUUUUGUAGUUUAAGUAACCGUUUAUAGACUAUUGCAUAUUCGAUAUUGUAACAACCCGACCCGCUAACAAUAAUAAUUCGUUGGAUCCAAACCACCAGCCAAAAUGCUUAAUCAGUUAUUAUUAUUAGGGUGCGAGGCCUCUUAUAUUCGAAUCAGAAUUCUUUUCUCAUCCAAUGUGGGACUAUUAGGGUGUUGCAAUUAUGCCCAGCAUUUUCCUGAUCAAUGUAGUUUAGGGAUUGAUUGUUAUUCAUGUGAAUGGCAAUAGAGCACCUAAAGCUCCUGUAAUUCUCGCUUUUUACGAAGAGUCAGAUCCCUAAUUAGGCUGAUAAACUAAAUUGGAAACAAAGCUGCUUCUGAAAUAAAAUUUAACUGUCAUCUCUUUUCCAGUGCUCAAGUUUGAUUCGCGUAGGAUUAGAUAUUUAGAUGUUUGUCUUCUCUUGCUGAUACUCUCAAAUAUGAUCUAGCACAUGCUUUGACAAUUUGAGACAAAGGUCGAUUAUCUAGUAAGGUAGUUUUGGUCCUCUUAAUAAGCUUUAUGCACUCAAUGUUGCACUGAAACUUCCUAGUACAACUCGAAUAUUUUUAAGAUAUAGGAGAGUCUUUUGUCAAUACUCCUGUGAGGAUUUGAUUGCUUGAAGCCGAUCUUCAAUUAGCCUACAUCAUAUGCAAAUAAGAAUGAGCUUCCUGCAGUGAAUUCAACUCGACUUCUAUUAUUAUUUACUGCUUCAACAAUGCAUUUAUUUUGGGUAGAUCUUCAAUUAGCCCUUUUGCGGUUUACACAUACUUACAUCGUCGCUGUGUGGUUUGAAAAAAUUUCGGUUUGCUAUUCUGUGGUUUUAACUUUGUUCCACCGUAAUGACCUGUUGUUCAAUAGUGCUGCUAACUAGGGUAGUGAAGUGAAAUGAUGCGUUUUAUAAACUAUUAAGUUGCCAUGUGCAAAUUUUAAGUUGGUAAAAUGCUAGUAUUUUGCCACCACAUGGUUUAUAAAUUGUAUUAUUUUACUGUCCUAUGAUUUGUAAAUUACAGCAUUGUGGUACCCUGCUUAGCAUCAAAUCCUUGCAGUUAUAUAAGAGAAAACACAGGGUAUUAAAAUGAAGCCUUUUUAAGCAUAGUGGCAAAGUAAAAAUAUGCUAAAGCUUGGGUUUGAAAAGAUGUAAAGCUUAUAUAGUUCUAUUUGCGUGGCCCCUGUUGGCUUUGGAGAGUUCAGAAGUCUUUAUUGUUGACACUAUUAUUAGGACUUGAGUUAAAAUGCUAUUAGUAGCAAACGGGCUGUUGUCACUAGACCUGGCAAACAGGCGGGUUGGAUAACCCGCGGGCGGGUUAUUGUACCCACGGAUUACUUGGGCAUGGGUAAAAUUUACCCACAAAUUUUUGGAUAGCCAACAUCAUUACCCAUACAUACCCGUGGGUGGGCGGAUGGGUAUGCGGGUCACCCGCAAUUUUUUUUCUUUUUUUCUGUUAUAUUUUUUAAAUGCAAAAUGCAUAUAUAUAAGUUUUAAAAAUAUAGCAUAACUCAUUAUUUAAAAUAUCAUAACAUACAAUAAAAAUAUUUAAAGUCUUAGAGCUUAAAAAUUUCGUAAUAUAAAAAACGUGAUAAAAAAUUAGAGUUAGAAUUUGUAGGAUGAGUAAAUAAAAAUAUAUAUAUUCUAAUUAAGAAAAUAUAUUUUGUAAUUAAAAAAUAUAUGUGCGGGUACCCGUGGGUACCCGCGGGUUAUCCAAAAUGCCCACAGCUUAAUGGGUACCCACCCGUUUUAUCCGUAAUUUUUUAGGUUGAAAAAGGUGGUACCCAUACCCCCAAAUUUGUGAAUAACCCGCGGGCACCUGCUGGUAUGGGUCGAGAUUGCCAGGUCUAGUUGUCACUCAUUUGUUUUCGAUGAUAGAGCCUCUGAAUUAACGAUUGGUACCUUUUAACAUGAUCUAUACCACUUGAAGUAUCUAAAAACAAAAUUUUAAAUCUUUUUGACAUCAUUAGCCUAAGGAUCAAAGGGUUUUAAAUUUUCUAAUUUUAAUGGUCAAUAUGAAACGUUUUCUCGUUUAACGGCGUAAAGAUAUUCAAAUCAAUUGAAUUUUGAUUUAGAAACUUUUUUAAACUAUUUAGAACAAGAUCUAUACUUUUGAUUUUGAUUACAAGACUCCUAUCAUCACUUUUUAAAGGAUAUUCAUUUUCAGUCGUUCAUUUCUGUGUUCACUUGACGGACAAAAGAACAAUGUCGAAAAAAUAUGAAAUUUGACUUCUAGAUGUUUCAGGUGGUAUAGAUCAUGUUCAACGAUAUCGAUUGUCGAUUUGGAGGCUCCAUCAUAAAAAACAAAUGGGUGGCAAAUGAGCUCAUUUACUACUGAUAUUAUUUCAGCUCAACACCUAAUAAAACAUCGGUGACUUACUGUUAAAUAAUAUAAAAUAAACGUUAUUCUCUCUCUCUCUCUCUCUCUCUCUCUCUCUCUCGUCUAGACUUAGAAGCUUUUUGAUAAUUAGAUGGGAGGAAAUUAAACAUAGCCUAGCAUUACGGUGGAACUUGAAUUUAGAACCUCUUAAUCUAAUAUCAUAUUAAAUAAUGUGAAACAACUAUCAUUUUCUAAAAGCUUAGACUAUCAAAAAAAUAAUAUUUUUAAUAUUUUAUAUUCAACACUCACCUAAUUUUGUAGUUCUAUGUAGGGAGAAAAGAAAAAGAGAAGGUAAUUAAUGGACUUUUUAUGGUAAUUUUUGUGGGAUUCAUGUUAGGCUGAGUUAGCUUUUUCUCCCUUUUUUCUGUGGAUUAAUCAUCUUGUCUCACUUUUUAUUUCGUAGUUCAGCUUUUCUCUCUGUCAUCUUCUUCUUCAUCUUUAUUUUUUCCCUUUUCUUCUUUCUAUUUUGUUGUAUUGCACACAAAUCCUUAUGAAAUCAAAUUUAGCAUACUCUGUGAUGUUUCCAGUAUAUUUUUUUUCAUCAAAAAACUAUAGAGAGAGAGAGAGAGUACUUGAGCUAGGAUGCCAUUUGUAACAUAGAAGUUUUCAUAUUUAUAUGUCAAAUUCGAUAAGUCUAUGCCGGUUCGAUGUUCGUAAUUCCUCUGAUUCGCAGUAUAAUAGAAUUAGAAUAGUAUCAUACGUGGUAUGGUCACUACACAGAAACUAUUUUUUUAUAGCGGAGAAUUAUAUUAUAUGUUACCAUUACACGGAGUAACUUCCUACCUAUGACUAGAUACCAAAAUAUUUCACACACAUUGUAGUUACAGUUAAGAACAGUUGAGAGAAACAGCAAGACUCGGAUUUAAAAGGAGGGAGUGGAGAGGAGGAUUAUGAUCAAAGCAAGCAGCAGGACAAGAUAUUGGACGGCCCACGAUGCCGACGGUCGGACGCCAUCGGAAGCGACACUGCGGCCGUUGAUCGCAGCGGAGUCGACCGCAAGGGGCAUGGCGCCGUUGACACUGGCGACGGUGCAGGUGGUGUGAUCAUCUGCCGUUGUAUCGGUCGCCAGAAGGACACGGAGGACGGAGGUAGCUGCAGGGAGGUACAGACUGCCGUUCUUCUUCGUCAGCAGCCACGUCAACCCCAUGAGCUGGCAGUCCUGUUUGCCGCUGCUGCUGCCGCUGCCACCGCCGGUGCUGCUGCUGCUGCUGCUGCUGCUGGCGCUGCUGUUGCUGCCACUCUUCAGCUGAAAACCGAACACAACCAUAAAAAAAAAGGGUCUGAGAUGAAAAAUCCAAACAUAGGUGGACUUCUCUGCAAAAAUGGCCAUUCGGCGAGCUUAAAUGCAUUACCUGGUUGAGUGCCCGAAGGCAGCGGGAGCACCCGGCGAGCCCCCCCACCCGCGCGCAGUCCCUCUCAAGCCGCCGUGCCUCCGCAUGCGGCGGCGCCCACCGCCUGCCCUCGGUGGCGCCGCAGGUGAGGCGGCGGAGCCGGAAGCCGCAGUAGCACCCGGCGGCGCCGCCGUCACUGCAGCCCUCCUCGGGGCACGUGCCAUUCUCGGCCUGCUGUGGGAGCUCAACCCCGCGGGUGCGGAGGGCGCGGUCGGCGGCGGCGCCGCAGGCCUCGGCGUCUUCGGGCAGGGCCGGCAUGCCGGGCAUGUCGCGGCUCCUGCAAAACAAUCAAUCACUCUAAGAGGGGCCCGUUUGAUUCACUGUUUGUAAUAGUCGUAAAAGGUGUUUAUUGACGCGGCAAAAUCAUUAUAUAUUCCCAACUAGUAGAAAUACUAGAUUAUCAUGAAUUUCGCAAAGCGUGUAAGAACUGUUUUUAGCUACUGCAUUAUCAAACUAGAUGCAAAAGAUUAAUUAGCUACCAUGUGGGGGGCGGGGGGGAGGUCGUCGCGGGGGUGGAGAGGGCAGGCAGAAGAAGAGGUGCGGGACGAGGAGGCAGACUGCUGAUCGGGGAAGGCCGGGAUGGUGGUGGCGGCGGACGAUGGCAGGGCAGGCAGGAGAGGGAGUUGAGAGACAAAGAGGAAGAAAAAGAAGAAGAGGGAAGGCAGCAGUGUGAAGUGAGUCAUCUCUCUCUGUCUCUCUCUUUCUGUUUGUAAUAACACUUUUCAGUCACUUCUGCUUUGCUUUGCUUUUCUUUUGGUUUCUGGGUGCAGACUGCCCUUAUAUACUGUUGCUUAUGGGGAGGGGAGGAGAAAUCAGAAAAGUGAGAGCCAGAAAAAGCAGGGGAGUAGGAUGGUUGUGGAGACCGAGUUGGCUCUAUCUUAUUAUUAUUAUUAUUUAAAAAAUCGAUCUAAUAAAAAACAGACGUAAAAAAAUAAAUAAUAUUUUUUUCGCACACAUGCAUAACUAACGCAGGAGACAAACAUGUGUAAUUAGAUAGGUGAGGUAGGAGAUGAAAAUGAGAUCGAAUUUACGACUUCACAGAACAAAAGGAGUUUAGAAUUAGCUGUGAUGUUAUAUUACCCCACACCGUAUUAUAUAUACAGAGAGAGUCCGGCUAUUAUACUAUUGAUAGUACCAAGCACUUGGUGCUAUCGAAUUUUCUACCAUUAGAUCUAUUCCUUGAAUCAUUUUCAUCUGUUAGAUCAUAUUAUUCAACCAACCUCCACUCAACCCUAGGGGAUCAACUAUCGACCUAAUCACACAUCCUUUCAUUGAAGGACUGAAAAUCUAAUAGCAUCAAACACUCGAUACUAUCGAUCAGACAGAUAAAAGGCAUAUAAAAUUGAUAGAUAAGAUAGAAAAUGGAGAUGCGGUUGGAGAUCGAUGAGGAUCGAGCUCACGACUUUCAGAAUAGAAGGAUUUAGAAUUAGUAGCAAAAAAAAAAAAUCAAAAUAAUACGAAACGGAUUCAGAAAUAUAUAUUAACACGUCUAAAAGAGUGUCCUGCUUAAAUUAAAAAUAAAAAAUAAAAAAAAUAAAAAAACAAAGAAAUCUCAAGGACUGUAUCCCACACGAGAUUCCUGGGGUGAGGCCUACGGACAGCCUAAUAAAAACAAUGUUACUUUCCUUUCAAUCUAUGAUGCCCAAUUUAUGACCAUUUGUUGCAUGUCUCUGGAUAGAUUUUUUAUUUUUAUUUUUUUUUUUUUUUGGGUGUGUGUGUGUGUGUGUGUGUGUGUGUUACCAUCUCACUCUGUUUAGCUAGUAAACAACCAUGCUAAUUUUAAUAUUUCUAUAUAAAUUUUUGAGUCCCAACCUGCAUGAUGCUUCGUAUAGGCGUUGUUUCCGAAUACGGAGUUUAUUUUGAGGCACUUGAAUUCAACUAUGGCAGUUGCAACUGCACGAGGCUGAUCAACUGCAGCAGUUUGAACUACGUUCCAACUGCAGUAUUGGAAAGAGAUUUUUCUCUUUUUUUCUUUCCCGCAUAGGAAGAAAUCUCGACACUCUAAAUGCAGCUUUAGGCACUUUUGACUACACCUGAGCAAAUAAAAUAUAUCAACUGUAUGCAUUUUUAACUAUACUACAUUUACAAUUAUACUGAAACAAAUAGCUCCACAGUAAUUAGACCAAAAAAAAUAAAGGGACCAUUGAUUCCUAAUCUUUCUUUUCCGUCACUAUUAGAUUCCUAAUCUUUAUAUUUUAUUAUUGUCAUAGGCAUAGAGGACGCGAUUGAAGGUGGUGAAAUUGGACUUAACGCAAUAUGCGAGCAAAUGAGAAAGAGGUAGGGACCAAUGUGAGGAAAUAGGUGAAGAUUAGGGACCAAUGGUGUUAUUAAUUCUAAAAGUUAAGGAUUUGAUUGCAAAAAUUAAAAAAUUGGUGACCUAAAUAAAAAUAGGGUAAAGAUUGGAGACCAAUGAUGCAAUUAACCCAAAAAAAAAAAUGAAAUAUAGAAUCUCCUUUGUUAAGGAGCUAGGGCUUCUCUAUUGGGAGAAGGGAUGUCAAUGGUUCGGAUUCGGAGCAGAUUUUUAAAAAUUCGAAUCCAAAUCCGACUACUGUGCCCGAACUCAAAUCCUACAGAUUUUAGAAAUUCUUAUCCAAAUUCGAACCGAUCGAAAAUUCGAAAUUCGGAACUCGAAUCCGAACCCGAAAAUUCGAAUCCGAAACAAUCAUUUCUCUUUACAUAUUUCAAAACAUACUACAUUAAAUAUAAACUUUCAAAAUAUAAAUUCAAAUAUAACAUCAAAAACAUAUAUUAUAUAAUUUAAAAUCAAUUCGGAUUCAAAUUCGGGUUGGGUACAGAAAAAAAUUCAUAUCUCAAUCUAAAUCCGUCGAAUUUUUGUUUUUGAUACCUGUAUCUACAACUGCAUAUGUUUAGUAAUGAAUAAAUCCUUCUUAUUCAAUUUGGAUUCAGAUAAAAUUUCGAGUAUUUAUACACACCAACAUGAGCUCAUCUCUCUCUCUCUCUCUCUCUCUCUCUCUAUCUUUCAUUCCCCUUAGAUUGUACUACAGCAUCUGGGCCCUAUGCCUUUGGAGAGUUAAUGUGUGUGUGUGUGUGUGUGUGUGUGUGUGUGUGUGAGGAGCAUUAAAUUAUGGUCAUAGAAUAAUUGUGAGGGCAUUAAUAUUGUCUCUUAAUUCAAGUAAUUAAUGCAUAUCCAAACCUAGAUGCUGUAAUCUUACUGCAGGUCAUAUACCAGUUCACUGAUACCAACAAUAAUAAUCAUAAUAAUAAAAUGUAGGGCAUGAACUUAAAGCAUCUUAAAAGGGGUUAGGUUAGAUCCAUGCAAUCUUCGAUGAAUCUAAAUCGACAAUUGAUACCGUCAAACAUGAUAUUAUUUGAUAUUAUUUAUCUAUUAUUUAAAUAAUUAACUGAAAGAAUUAACCGAUCACUGCAAAAGUACUAUUAACAAAAUUAUGAAAUUUAGUUUGUAAGAAGUUUAAUUAUUGUAAGUCAUAUUCGACGGUAUUUCCGUUAAGAUAACUCAUCAUAAAAAUCAAGAGUUUUGUACUUCUAAAAUAUUCUAGUUCAACUCUUAGAAAAGAAGUUUGUAAGAAACUAAAGUAUUCUGUUAUGAUAAACGCAUAAACGGAAACAAAAUAGCGAAUACGAAAUACUCAAAACCACAAGCAGAAAUGAAAGAGCACACAGAUUUACGUGAAAAAUCCUUUAUAGGGAAAAAAUCACGGGUGAGGGAGGAGAGAACUUUACUAUCGAAACGAAAGGGAAUACAAUGUUCCUCAGAUUAUAACCAACCACGAUCUCACGCCUCUAAGGCAAAAACGAAAAGAAAACUCAUAACGGGUUUCGGAUUCGAUCCGUACCGCGGGGGGCGGAGCCCCCCGCACCCACUGCCAAAUGUCAGUGGUGGGCUACGGGCUCGGUCCUGUCUGCCCGAGCCCUCCGCUACCCACCACAAACAUUCAUUUUUCCUCCAUAAUUUUUUUUUUCAAUUUGGUCGCACUGCGAAACAGUCGGCAAGUCGAAAAACCCAAACUUGAGUCGAAUAUCAAUUUCGAGUCAAAUCUAACAUAUUCUAAUUCAUAGACAUGGACAUGGAAUACAGAUCACACAUGACUCAAACAAAAUGACUCGGCAGUUUCAAAAAAAAUUAAAACAGGGAUAUGGCAUAGACUCAGCAAAUGACAUAUAGUAUUUUUAAUAUAAAGAUUUAUUUUUAUUAUAUAUAAAAAAAAUAAUUUUGCUAAAAUUUUAUUAUGUUUUUUUGUGAAUGAAAGUUAAUAAAAUAUAGUUCAUAUACUUUAAGUGGAAAAAUUCUCCACCAUACAUAAUUUAUUUAUAUCUAAAAUCCAAAAAUCAUAUAUAUUCAUUUAUCAAAAACUCAAAGUAUUUAUCAUCUUAUAUUUGCAUUUUAAAAAAGUAAAAAAACAAAUGCUCUAUGGACGUGCGUCAAUGGCACAUCUGCAUUGGACACGAGUCCGACACGGGCAAGCAUUUAUCCAGUAUGGAUACAGGAGACAUAUAAACAUGUUCAUGAUCCAUAAAUAGUAUAUCUUAUUUGUCUCAUUCUUGAGCCCAAGAUCCUUUUUUAAGUUGCACAUUUUUUUUUAAAAAAAAAAUGUUCUUUUGAGAGAAAUCUAAUUUGUUCAUUCAUGUUUAUAAGCCUAGUUGGCAUCCGAAGUCUUUUUUCUCUUUUUUUUUUUUUUUUUUUUUUUUUUUUUUAAGAUAGAUAGCACGCUACCUGCUUCGUUUAUUUCACUUAGAAAUGAACUUAGCUGGAAACGUGAAUCAACUAGGAUUCAAAUUUGGGACCUCAGGUAUCAACAACCAAGCCUUUUGCCACUUGAGUUCGAAUCUUAGUUACUUUACAUUUUCAGCUAUAUUGCGAAAAUUUAGCCGAACCUCAGUCGAGGUUAGCCGCUUAUUUGUAUCCAUACAGAAUUUAUCUUAGCUGCAUAUCAUUUUGAGUUAGUUAUCCAAUCCUUAAAAAUUUUAAUUUUAAUAUCCAAUACUUCAAAUUUUUUUGAUCUAAAUCAGCCGACGAUACUUUGACUCCAAAAUUUAAGUUAAUUACUUAAUUUAAUAAUUUUAUAGUUAUAGAAAUUACAGGAAAUAUAAAACUAACUUCGUAAAGAUGAAUAACGCAUUCAAAUUUUGAAUAGAAAUUAAAAUUUUAAAAGAUUGAAUAGCCGAUUCAAAAUAAUUUAUAGUUUGUAGUUCAUAUUACUUCUGUAGUUUUUAUCAAAUAUUUAUUACUGAGAUAAAUUCUUUUUUUUUUCUUUCAUUUCCAAUAAAAGAGCCCCUCAAAUUAAAAAAAAAAAAAAAAAAAAAAAGCAAGAAUAUUCUCAUGCCUCACUCGUUGCACGUGACUCUACGGUCCAUGCUUUGAUUGGAGUGGGAAUAUCUACAACAUAAAUGUUAGGUAAAAAAAUUUACGAAAAACCCCCUCAACUAUGGGAUGUUCUAAAAUCAGACCUUCACCAUAUAAUUUUUUUGCAUUGACAUCCUUUUAGCUUUUAGUAGUUUCCAUUCAAAUUAUUUUUCUUGUUUAUUGCUACCAAAAGAUUGAUAAACAAUAUACAAGCUAAAAAAAUAAGUAAUAUAAGAAUUACACUGAAACAACUUAAAAUAUAUAGAAUUUAAGACUAACUCUGAUAUCAUAUUAUUCAAAGUAUCGAUUAAACAAAAAAAAAAGCUUAGAAAUAGUUUCAACAGCUAUCGCUUUUAUCCUCUAACAAAGUCCCCCAUUCAGUUAGCUAAAAAGGUGUUCAAAACAGCUAAAUUUAAUAUAAUUAAAAGUUACCGGGACGUCAAUGAAUAUAUUGCGUAUAUAGUGUCUCCAUUUCGAAAUAGAGUAUAAUUGAGGGGUUUUUUCUUGUAAAUUUUCACCUACUUGUGCCCUUUGUAGUCCUCUUCCCUGGCUUGGUCUCUUUUGUUGGUGCCCAUUUCACAGCUCAAUAAAUUGUUGGCAUGCACAGUAAGAGUCCAUGGAUUGUAGUGGGCACAAAUGUUUGAUAAGGACCCAUGCAAUUUUAGCUUGGGUAAAUUUUAUUCAUGGGGAAAAAAAAAUUGUAUUAAAUCAUCAAUUUCUAGCUCCUUGUUGACUUUUCUGGGCGCAUUUUUACGCUAGUAAACUGAAACGCAAGUGAAGGCUUUGUUCAGAAUUGUAGGUAGAAUUGUUAUAUAUGAUGAGCAAAGCGUGAUUAAAAAAAAAAAAAACUUUGUUUGUUUUAAUAUGUAAUAACACGUUACAUAGAUUGAGAUUGUAUUGAUUCAACUUAAGAUAUGAUUUUUGCAAUUUUACUGGAUGUACAUUUCUGUAUGCUUUUCCUUUAAAUCUUUAAAGCAAUAGUAUUAGACAGCAUUCGACACCAAACGGGUUUAAGGAAAUCUCCCGUAUAUGUUGUUAAUAUGGAGAUUAGCCGAGAAGUUUUAUCUUUGCUCAGAGAGACGAGAAUGGGGAUGGUAUAUUUUGAAGAGAUAGCCCGCAGAAAGUAGAAAUAAAAUAGAGGGCAGAUAAAUAUGCAAUUCACGAGUGACAAAGUCCAUGUUGCAUGUGAGAUGUGACAAUUUUGUAGACAUGGGUAUGCUAAAGAAAGAGAUCCAACAUCUAAAAAGAAAACAAAAGAGGCAAUGAAUGCUUUGAAUGGAAGAAGCUAAAUCACAACUUGAAACUCAGCUGGAAGGACAGGUAAGGCAUUUGUUGGCAGAUAGGCCAGCAUCCAAAAUGGCCAAAUCACAAUAAAGACCCAUUGCUGAUGCUAUGUUUGUAGCUCUAAAUAAAUUGAUCAUCCCAUUUCUUACAGCUCAAGGUUUUGGAAUCAUGUUUCUUACAAAUUCACUCUUUCAAUACAUGUAAUAAACAAUGCCUUAGAAGUAGAAGAUUCAAACCAGAGAGUCUAUUAACCACGUACGCUUUAGCCGAACACACUCAGAUUUCUAAUUUGUUAAACAUUUAACUUCCACUUCUGAGUAGAUCAGUUGUUCAAAAGCCAAGUAGAUGGUAACAAUUUCAAGAUAUAACUGAACAGCAACGAAAUUUCAAGUUCUUCGAUAUUUUCUAAAAAUUUCCUCAAUUUGUAGAACUACUCACGAAAACAGUUUGGAUUUUUUUCUCCCUAAAGAAAUACAUGGCAGACGGCGAAGUUAUCACAUAUUACAAUGGAGAGUAAGUUCAACAGAAAAAAGAGCAAAUAAUCCUUUAUAUGAAACAAUAAUCCAUCGGCGAAGUGUUGAAACCCACGAAGGGACUGAUAAUUAAGUUACAACAAGGAGAACAGAGUUUACAACUGCUGUAAUGGUUCGACGACAGUGUAGGUUUGGGAGUAUAAAUAACAAAAAUCAGAGAGACUUGUAUGAAAGAGGAUCAAAGAUCAUCAACAGCUAUGACAAUCUUCUGUUUGAGCAUCCCACUAAAAUUACAACAGAAACAACCGACGAGAGUGAAAUCAAAGCUCUAAGUGUCCAUCGCGGUUAAACAAGUAAUCUGAUGGUAUGAUUUCGUUACAUCACAUAGCUUCAUGCCUAUAAUUCAGCCACCUUAUCUGACAACCCAUCAACCGCCUCAUCUGCGUGCUCAUCGGCUGAAUUUUGCUGUAAUAGGUAAGAAGAAACUCGGUAAAUCUGUCAAAUACUUGUAGAUAAGAUAGGCAGAGAUAAAUUUCUGCCGUAAUAUAAAGCUGAUAUAAGAGGGUAUUUUGCGUAACAAGAAACAACCAUGUAAAUUUUGUUCAUUGUUUUUGUUGUUUAUAUUGUAGAUUCCGGAUUCAAAUAAACCCAAGGAUAUAUGUUUCUGCGCAGUUACCUCUGUAUCACUUUUCCCAUUAACAGCUACACACUUGGAAGCACUUAUGCUCUCACUCUUCAGGAAGCUCCGGGGUGUAUAGUUCGACAAGCUCUCGCCAUUCUCAACAGUGGUAGCAUGCUCGUUACCCUCGCCCUGUAGCACCACCCUCGAAGGGCUUUCGAGGGCAGAUCGAGCAACUGAAGCUGUGUUUCUCUUCUCAUAAUCAUUAUUCUGAUCAGCGGCUUCCUUUUUCGGUGUGCAAACUCUUUCCCUGUAGCAGGGUAAUAUAACAUGAGAAGUGUUUCAUUGAAUAACUUCGACAAUGAGAAAGAAGUUCUGAUUUGCUGGUGAAUCACGGAGCAAAGAACUAACAACAAGUUAUAGAGACGGGCUUUUGCAAGAAUUGUCCAUUUUCUGACUUUUCCACUCUGAUCAACUAUUUUUGUUUUUUGCAUUUUUGGAUCGAAAUCUUCCUGUAAGGACUAAAUAUUCCUACGUCAGAGCUUUUGGCCAGCGGCAUUUUGGCCCAUUAAAGUUUCUAGCCGAAGUGGCAAAAGAAAAGUGCAUUUGUUUGCCAUUCUAAUUCUUGCCACAAAAAUAAAAACUCCAGAUCUUUCAUUUGCUAGAACACCUGUGGCAAUUGCUUCUUGAAGUGGAGAAGUCGUACGAACCAUACAUGAAAGGACUAAGACCAGGUUUUAAAAAUAUAUAUAUAUAUCCGGCCAGUUUAAUACCUUGGCAAAGAGGCAUACUUUCGCUGGAGUGGAGUACUUCUUUCACCUGUGCCAGAGUGCUCUUCAAGAUGCGCAAAUUGCCGCUUAAAACGGUCAACCCCACUGCCAUCAGAUAAUUGCAUUAGAUAUCUGCUGCAACUGGACAUCCUUUCUUUUUUACACACUUUUGCAGGUAAAGCAUUAUCAGAUUAAAAUUUACAAACCUAACUAAUUGACUAGGACCUCACUUUUUCACAAACUAUAUUCUUGCGAAAUCAACUAAUUAUUUGUAUAUUUUCAAGGCAUUAUUAUUCAAUUGGCAGAUAGAGCUACAAUUAGGAGACCAGAAAUAACUUAACUCAAUUUAACUUAAUGUUGAAUCAUAAAAACCCACUAAUUAUUUUCUAGCAGCAGCAUGACCAUGCUGGCUUUGUUCGUACAAAAAUACCCGCCGUUGCAAUUUGGCCCAGAAAGUCCAAUUUAAUGUAAACAAUUCACUAAUUAUCUAAUGUCAUGAAGUUUGAUUUAAUGGAAAUAAUGACUUACGCCUAUAAAGCUUAAUUUGGUGUAAAAAGCCUCACCAACAAGUGAUUUAUUAAUAUAAUUAUAGGCUAAAUUGCAUGUUUGAUCCUCAAACCAUCAGUCGGGUGACAUUUUGGUCCUCAGACUUUAAUUUGUUGCAAUAUUUGGCUCGAACGUUCAGAGUUGCUGCAAUCAGAUCCUAUAACUCAAUUUAGUUGACUAAAUAUUGAUGAAUCACUAAAGUAAAAGUGAGGUUGUAGUGUUGUGAUUGAUGACACGACAAUAAUUAAGAUGUCACAUUACUUUCACAUCAGCGAUGUGUUAAUAUUUAGUGAAUUUAAUUAGUUUGUGGAACUUGAUUACAACAAUUCUGAGAAACGAGCCUAAAAUUGCAAUAAAUUAAAUUUUGAGGACCAGUAUGUCACCCAAUUGAUAGUUUGAGGGUGCAAUUUGCCCUAUAUUUAUAUUAGAAAUUUUUUUUAUCACAAAAUUAUGUUCUGUGGAUCAAAUUGAAAUAGGAAAAAAGCUGGUAGCUUUUUCAGCUCCAAUUAAAGCUGGAAGGUCAAAUUGCAGCUUUAGUUGAGUUUUUAUGACUUUAACCCUUUAAAUUAUCCAUGAUUACUGAUAUCUGAAGAACGAAAGGAGGCAAUAUAUUUGUCCCACCUGGGAUACAUGAAGCUGGUCUGGUCCCCACCACGAAGAUACUCCUGAAGCAUCUGGGGAUGAUACUCUAAAAUCUGUUUGCUUUUAAGAAAAAUUACAUAAUAAAUGUGAAAUUGCAUAUCAAUCAUUAAAGUAAAUCGAACAUAGAAAAAAGGCCAACUUUAUCUUACCUCUCGAUAUAUCGAUUCCCUAACAUCAUCUUUUGUCAAUUUCUUUCUUUCAAACUCAAACUCAAGUUUCGAAAUAGGUUGCGUUGAUGGCUCGCGAUCUAAACUAGCAAGCCCUCCGAAAUAUGGGUCAGCUAAAGCCUGAAAGAGACAUAAAAUAAAGAAAACCAGCAUCAGCGGAGAAAUUUGAAAACCCAAUGUCAUUGUAGGUGCUUAUCUCUCACAUUAUUGAGAGCCUCCUUGGCCUGACUUUUGGAAUAGCUUCUCAAAAGUCAUGAGCUUUGGACGUGGAGGUAAGCCAAAAUAAGCCUCUAGGCCACAAAAGAAAAAGGCCAUACAUCUGCAGUUGGCGGGAUUUUAGUGAAGCUGUUGGCACUUUUUCAAACAAGUCGACUCCAAAGCACUUUUGGCUUCCAUCAAAGCUUUGUCCAGGCCAAAUAGGUCAUUGAUAAAUUAAGCAAUAGCAAUCACACUUGUUUAGUUCUACCUGCUCAGCACUAGGCCGAUAUUUUGGAUCAAAUGCAAGUAGCUGCUCAAGUAACCGGAGAGCCGGUGGAUCAACAUGAGGGAACUUGUGCGAGAAAGGAACAGGAGGUUUCUUCCUCAUGCUGCUCAAAUAUCUUCUAGCCUUUUCAUUUCGAAUCUACAUAUUUCGAAGGUUAAAGAAAGUAAGACAAUGGGUGAUGAGAACUUCACAUGAAUUACAAAUGCAUAAAAAGAUGGCAUUGAAAUUGUAUAAAAAAUGAAGCAGACUUGGAUGCAUCGUCAAAAUUUAGUCUCCAACACAUGCAACUUUCCAUGUGAACUUUCAAAAAACAUUAAAGAAACAAGGUUUACCGCACAAAGUUAAAUACAUUAUCUGAAACAAAGAUCAGAAUUAUGCUUGUUUUUACCAGAAACAUAAAGUUUACCUCUAAAGUUCAUAAAAUUAUCUAGCAGCCUUUUAGGGAGUAGAGAGGGAAAGAAACACGUAAGAGUUGCAAAGAGAACAAAAGGAAGAAUAGAAGGUGACUUAGUUGACGCGUAAAGCUAAGAGAUUAGAUUGAAGAAAAGUGUUAUUUUAUAAGAUCUUGAAGGAUAACUAAGCUUGAUACUUAGAUAGAAAUUAUAAGGUCUUUAUGGUCAUGGAUUGCGAAUAAUUAUACCUCAUUGACCUUUGUAAGACUUUCAUAGCACAGCAAUUUCAUGCCAUUGAUUAGCUUCCAUAAUGAAAUUAUGAAGAUAAAGACAAUAAAAAGGAAAUGAAGGAAAUUGCCUACUUACCCAUAAAACCAACAUGAUCGCCAUAGGAUUUAGUCAAAAAAGAAGCACUUACAAUUGAUUUAAUGAUCAUAUACAUCUUAAUUUCGACUGAAUAUCUUGACCAUAAGAUUACUUAUCCUACAUGGGCCAGACAAAGUAGACUCGAAAGGAAUUUGUUUGGAAUAUGAAAUGAAGUAAGAUGUUAUAGAGACUUUUAUGAUAAGGGCCAAGAAACUACCAAAGAAUAAAAUUCAAGGGAAGUUAACGGUAACUUGAGAUAAAUGGAAGUUAUCAUGUCAUCUAAGCAAUUAGGACCUGCUUGCGUCCCUUACAGGUAUAGUGUUAUUCAAUGUAGUGUUGUUUGAGUAGCACUAAUAGAGAAGAGCCACUAUAUCAAAAUCCUCCCAACAGCUUCUACCUCGGCAGAACAAGAAGCACCAAACUGGAACAUCUGCUUUUGUGACUUAGAAUCUCAUUUCAGCUUCCGCUAGUCAAGAAACUCCAGCUUCAGCUGAAAGUAGAAGCCGAAGUGGGGCUAAACAUGCACUUAGUAGAAAAAAUAAAAAAUAUUUGAACUACUAAAACAGAAUAGAUACAAACUACAUUACAAGUACAAUCAUGGAAAAUGAUAGAUUUUAAUUUAACAUCAGCUUACGCUAAAAAUAAAUGGAUAAACAGAGAAAACAAACCCUUGAUAUGGUUUCAAAUGACGGAGUUCCAAGGAGAUCAGUCAUCAAGUCCAAUUGAUGGACGACGUUCUUCCCGGGAAAUAGCGGUUUGCCAGUUAGCAUCUCGGCAAAUAUGCAUCCUAUGCUCCAUAUGUCAAUUGCAGGGGUAUACUGUAAAAAUAAAACUAUUCAUGGGUCAAAAUGCAAAAACUUUUUGAGUAGAAGUAUACAGCAGACUUAGUCAUAAUAUCCUAUAUAAAUGAAAUGUAGCGACUGUAUGUUUAUAGUCAUCUAAUGGAUGCAAAAUCCAGCAUGAAAAUUAAUCAAGACAAAGAAAACGUUAACAAAAUCCCUCACUUAACAGGGAGAUAUUUUGUGGCCUCUUUUUGCCCAGCAAUAUAAUCCAAAUUUCCAUAAUCCAUAUAUAAGCUCAUAAUCCACAGAAAAAAGGGCCAUAUGAGUUAUCUUACUUUGGAGAAGAAGGAGCCACAUAAUUCAGGGGCUCGGUACCACCUCGUUGCCACAUAAUCCUUCACAAGGAAGUAAAGAAAAACACAAUUAACAAAGAAACAAAUAAUUAAAGCACGUGAAAACCACCUGCAAUGCACAAAGUGAAGCAGAAUUAAUUAGAAAACUAAUAGUAUAAUAUAAAGAGCAACAUACAGUCCAAAAAAUAGCUGACGGAGCAUCAUUAAAUGCCACACGGGCAAGCCCAAAAUCACAGAUCUUCAGUUUGCAAUCCGCAUUGGCUAGUAUAUUCUUGGGCUUCAGAUCUCGAUGAAACACAUUAGCUGCAAGAAAUUAGGAAAUAACCGCAAAGUUUUAAUAGAACAGAGAAUCAAAAUGGAUAUGGGCCUGUUCACCCCAAAUGAAGCUUUUGUAUAUGUGUUGUUUGAGUAGAGCCGCUGAACGAUAAAUUAAGAACAUUUUGCUGGAGUAACCCAGCAAGUUCCCACUGCAACAAAAGCACAAGCUACCAAUUCGAGCUUCUGCUUUGGGGUCUACGAGCUCUCCCUUUAGUUACCUGCUAUAGCAAAAGCUCAAGAAUAUUUGUUUUGCCAAGCACCUGACACACAUUCUUAGAAUAGACAAGCUGCUUAGAAAGAUAGGUCAAACAGGCACUAUAUCAUCCAACAUGAACCAUUGAUUAACCUGUAUGGAUGUACUUUAAGCCCCGAAGAAGUUGGUAUAGAAAAAACUGGUAAUGCUCGUGGGUAAGAUCGUCAUUUGCCUUGAUCACUUGAUGAAGAUCUGAUUCCAUUAGCUCGAAAACCACGUAUAUAUCCUUGAAUUCUCUUCGAGAAGGAGGAAGCAUAAUAUGCUUUAUCUCCACUACAUCAGGGUGACGAAGGAGGCGGAGGAGCUUGAUCUCUCUUAAUAUGCGGGUGGCAUCAGAAACAUGUUCGAAGACAUCAUUGAUCUUCUUAAUCGCAACUCUCUCCCCCGUGUGGGUGUCAACUGCAGCACCCACCACCCCAUAGCUUCCCUUCCCGAUGACCUCUUGGAUUUGGUACCGGCUUGCUUCGCCAUACUCCGUGAAGAACUCCGAGUCAAGCAUGCUCUGAAAAGAUGACAAUGGAGGUGUGGAAUUGUCAAAAUAUAUAAUGUUUCCGCACGCCAGAUGAUUUGAAUUAAUGAAAAUAUAGGCCUAUUUGGCUCCGCUGUAGAGUGUAAUGCUAUUAUUGCUUUUCUCUGUAGCACAAGCUCCAGUUCAGAGCUUUUUCUUUUCAGAGCCCCAAAAUCGCAUUUUGGGUUCCCAUAACAGCACACAACCUAAAUUUCUUGUUUGAGAACACAUUACUGGAGGAGCUGCGGCUGAAAGCAUAAGCAGAUGACACACGAAAUGGGCACCAAUCAAUGAUUAAGUGAAGUGAGAAGAGUAGAUCUGAUUACUCAAGCGACGUAAUUUGAGCAUUCGCUUAUCGAGGCACGGAACUCAAAUGCUAUAACAUUACUAUGCGGUGGCAGAUUUAAAUUAUGAGUAGAACUACUGAAAGCUAUAAAAUUUCCAUAAUCAGCCAAAUUUAAUCAAUACAAAGUAAACCUCUGUUUAGAAACAUGAAGAGAAGCAUCUACAAUGAUUGAAUGGACAACAGAAGAGUAAAUUAAACACUCCUUAAUCAUCUACAAUGAUUGAAUGGACACCAGAAGAGUAAAUUAAACACUUACUAAUCAAGGCUUUCACAAAUUCGAGAAAUAAUACGCAGAUUUUGACCUACAUCGCAAUCUAUCGCAUGUCGACUAUUCCAAACAGUUCCCAAAAAAGAUCAAAUUUUGGAUCUACGCCAUAAAAGGAUUGGAAUUGAAUUGAAUUGAAUUGAAUACAUGGAUCUAACAAAAGGAGAAAGCCCCCACUUUGAAAACCCUCACCUCCUCCUCCUCCGCCUCGGAAUUCCCUAAUUCAGAUGCCCAAUGAAAGAAGCACAAAUAUGAAUUGAUUGAUACCCUUUUGACAAUAACAGGAGAGAAAAGAGAACCGGAUCCCAACUCAUCCAUUUAAAAAAUACGAUUAAUUCAAAAAGAAAAAGGGAAAGGUCGAUCACGUUUUAAAAAAGAAAAUUACAAAUUUAGACGGCGUCAACACGAACCAAAAACCCCCCAAUAAGGCGAAAAAGUUGGAUAAGGACAUGAGAGCUAGGUCAAAGACAAUAAAGGUGGGAUUUUUAGGGUUCGAUCGGAGGGGAUAUACGAUAUACCUUCUUGUGGGGGUCGAUCGGGGCCAUCUUUCGCUUGGGGACGCGGAUGAUCCUGAGGCCGAUGAGAUCCAAGUCCUCGACUACCUCGAUCUCGCCCUCGCCCUCGCUCUCCGCCGGCGCUGCGUCUCCGUCGUCGUCGACGCCGGCGAGGGCAGCGGGGUCGCGAUCGGAGCUCAGUGACGAGGCGUAGGAGGCGGCGGCGCGGGGGUUCUGGGAGCGGCGUUGGAACCAGCGGCGCAACCCGUCCACGAGAGCCCCUCCCCCCAUAUAACGGCGGCUGCCGCGGCGGCGGCGGUGCUGCGGCGGAGUCUCCUCCGGCAGGGCGAUCGCAGCAUUGGCUUAGGCCUCCUCCUCCUCCUCCUCCUCCUCGGCCACCUCCUCUCUCUCUCUGUCUCUCUCGAUCUCUCUCGAUCUCUCGAGAAGAGGGAGAAGGGUUGAGGGAGUGGGAGUUCGCUCGAGCACUCGUGGGCUGGGCACAGUGGCUUUGUAUAUAUAUUAUUAUUUAUUUAUAUAUAUAUAUAUAUAUAUUAUAUCAUAAUUUACCAAAAAAUAUAAUUUAUUUAUUUAAUAUUAUAUUUAAAAAAUGACCCAAUUAUUGUAUAUAUAUAUAUAGUUGAGCUAGAAUACUCUUAAAAGCACCAAUAUAUAUAGAGUUGAGCUAGAAUACUCUUAAAAGCACCAAUAUAUAUAGAGUUGAGCUAGAAUACUCUUAAAAGCACCAAUAUAUAUAGAGUUGAGCUAGAAUACUCUUAAAAGCACCAAUAUAUAUAGAGUUGAGCUAGAAUACUCUUAAAAGCACCAAUAUAUAUAGAGUUGAGCUAGAAUACUCUUAAAAGCACAAAUGAGGUGGUACUUUUAAGUUUUUAACCAUUGGAUGGAGGAAUGUAAGGUUGUGAUGAUAGUGAUAGGUGGUGGUAGGUGGAAUAGUGUUUGAUCCAAGGGCUAUUAGUAAUGAAGUAGUAGAUCCAAGGGCUAGAAACCUAAAAACACCAAUGGGGUGAUAUUUUUAAAAAUAUUCUAGCUAAAUAUAUAUAUAUAUAUAUAUAGUUAGAUAUUUUUAUUAAAAUAAUAUGGCCAAUUUGCAUAAAAAAUCCAUAUGUUUUAAACUUUUGUAAACUGGGCCGCAUUUUUCGAUUUUACAGAUUUGAUCCGAAUAUUUAACAAAUUGACCAAAAUAUUCUUAUACUUUUUUUUCUCUCUCUCGCNCCCCCCGCCUCUACCCCUGACGCUCACGCCCUCGCACUCGCCUGCGGACACCCCGCCAUUUUCUCCUCCGAUUCCGCCGAGGCCGCGUUGCGACCCUCUUUUUUUUCUCCCUUUCCAACCCUCCUCCACCCGCAGUCCCCACCGCCGCCGCCGGCAACAAAGAGGAAGUGCUUCUCGGGGCUCAAAAGCACGCCGACGUGGAAGUGAAAGAAAAAUAGUUACACUCCGGCGAGGGCGAUAGUUGCAAUAGAGGACAAGGGAGAGGCCAGUGACCAAAAAAUAAUAAUAAAGAAAAAAAUAAGAAUAAUAAAAAAUAAAAAUAAAAAAUAUUUUUUUCUACAAAAAAAAGACUAAAAAUCAUAGAAAAAGAAAGAAAAAAAAAUAAAAUUGUACUGUUAAAAUAAAGUUACAUUAUUUUUAAAAAAUUUUACACUAUUUUAGAUGAAAGUUGUACUCUUUGAAAUAGAAAUUAUAUUAUUUGGGAUGAAAGUUACACUUUUUAGGCGAAAGUUGUACUAUUUGGAUAAAAUUUAUACAAUUUCUUAUUAUCUUCUUCUUCUUCCUCCUUCCUUUCUGUUUUCUCGUCCUCCUCCACGCUCUCCGCCGCCGUCGCCGUCCCCUUCUCUGCCGGCGCUCGCGCCGAGGCGGGCAUUGAGGUUGCAGGAUAAAGCAUAGGCGCCAAGGUUAUUGACGAUUACCAUCCACACAUAGGGCUUGUUUGGUUCAAGGAUAGAAUUUGAAUGGAUAAUGGAAUGAGAAUGAAUUGGAAUGGUAAUUGAAAUGACCCACUCCCCCAAGACGUUUGGUUUAUUUGUGGAUUGGGAAAUUAGAAUAAGUUAUUCACAUUUCAUUGUUUGGUUCGUAUAAACUAAAAAAAUUAUAGGAUACUAUAAUACUAAUUUUACUCUCAAAUAUAAAUUUAUAUUAUUUAAAAUUUAUGAAAAAUAUAAUACUAUUCUCUAAUAAGUUUUCCAAAAAAAUUAUCAAAUUUAUUUUUAAAAACCUUUAUUGAUGUGGAUUAGGGAUAGGGUUUUGAGAGAGGAUAUAUUUUUUUUUUUUUGAUGAGAAAGGGGUGAAGAGAAGAAGGGUGAAAUGGUCACAUGGGCUUCGAGAACUUAGUGGGCUUCCGAAAUGAAAUCUCAAUCCGGGCUAGAAGACCGGAAUCAAGUUGAAGGCUAAUGGGCUAUUCUCAUUCGAGUCCGGAAUAGGAAUCCCAAACCGAUUCAUGCGAACCAAACAAAAUUAACCGGAUUUGAUCAAACCGAUUCUCAUUUCAUACCCAAAAUAGAUGAACCAAACAAACCCAUAGUUUCAUGUUAAUAGAACCCCUUUUGUUUGAUAUGUAUGAUGACUUGUCACUAUGGCCAUGCAGGAGAGUUUCUGCUUCUGCAAAGGCAAAGGUUGCAUCUUUGAUCCCGAGAGCGAGAGGAGAUCUAUUCAAUUCCACAUGACAGCACCUUUUCCAUCUCUUAUGACCCCUCAUCUUGAUGUCAUUUGAUAAGAGGAAAUUGCCAAAAGAUUGAGAUAGAUAUGUUUGAAUGAAAUCAGACCUCGUCAUGUUCAUCCUUAUCCCCUAACAAAAAUGAAAUCUGUUUUAUUUUAUUAAUUUUUUCAAUCACCUUCACGAAGGAGGUGGACUUCAACCAAGCCAGCCCCUAUUAUGAAGUGGCUAUGAAUAUUAACGCCCGCCUCGGCGCUGGCACCGGUGCAUAAGGGGGGCGGCGGCGGCACGAGGGGCGCUUGACGGCGGCGAUGGCGGAGAAGGUGACGAGAAAACGAAAGGGAAGGAGGAGGUGGAAGAAGAAAAGAAUAAGAAAUAAUAUAAAUUUCAUCCAAUAGUAUAAUUUUUACUUAAAAAGUAUAACUUUUAUUUCAAAGAGUAUAAUUUCUGUUUUAAAUAGUGAAACUUUUAUAUAAAAUAGUGCAAAAACUUUUUAAAACAGUAUAACUUUAUUUUAACAGUAUAAUUUUAUCUUAUUCUUCCUUGUUUGCGCCUCUGCCUCCACCUACUUCUCCGGCGAGAAAAAAAAAUGCGAGAAAAAGAAAAGAAGAGAGAAAAAAGUAUAAGGGUAUUUUGGUCAGUUUGUUAAAAAUUCGGACUAAAUCUGUAAAAUUGAAAAAGGUUGCCCAGUUUUGCAAAAACUCAAAACUUAUGAAUUUUUUAUGCAAAUUGGCCAAAUAAUAUAUUUGGGAAAAUUACACUUUGGUUCUCCAAACUUUACAAUGUGUGACAAUUUAGCCCUAAAAUGUUAUUUUAUUACGAUUUGUUUGUUUUGCUCCUCUUUACGAAAUUAGAAAUUAUGAGUUAUCACGUUUAUUUUAAAGGCUCAAAAGUUCCCAUGAUUCCACCAAAGCUAAGAGUAUGUAUUUUCAGUAUACGUCUCCUAUAUUUUUGAAAAUACAGAGAUCUCCGUACUUGUAAGUUAUUUUCGAUGACAUGACAUCUAAUUUGACGAUUAGCUUCGUUAGACAUAAUCUACGCUAUUGGAACUAUCUAAAAGCCAAAUUUUAUAAUUUUUUGACAUUAUUUACCAUGUGAUCCAAAGGUCCAAAGAAUGACUAUUUUAACGAACGAUGUGACACGUUUUUAAGUUCAACGGUACAGAACAAUUCAAGUUACAUAAAAUUUUAAUAAAAAUUUUUACUUAAUAUCAAUAGUAAGAUUAAUGCUUCUGAUUUAAAUUUGAGUCUUUUAUCACUAUUUUUAAUGAAAUUUUUAUUUUUAGUUGUUCAUCUUUAGGCUACUUGUUCACUAGCCAAAUAAAAUCAAAAAAUUAUGAAAUUUAGUUUCUAGAUAGUUCCAAUAGCAUAGAUCAUGUCUAAUCAUACUGAUCAUCAAAUCGAAUGUCUUAUCAUCGAAAACAACUUACAAAUACAGAAAUUUUCGUACUUUUUGAAAGCAUAUGAGCCUAUCUUCUAUUUUUAUUUGUUAAACUCUUGAGUUUAGUUUUAACUCUUCCGUAUUAGGGAAAAUUAAAUAUUAUUAAAUUUCAAAGGAGAUAAAAUAAAAAAGGUCCGGCUAUGGUACUUCUAAUAACACCAAGCAUUCAGUGGAACCAACUUUUCCACAAUUAGAUUACUCCUUUGACUAUAUCAUACACUCGAAUCAUACUUUUAACUAACCACCACUAAACCCUAUCCUAACAUCCAAAGAUUAAAAGUUCACAAGUAUCAUUGGUGCUAUUAGAAACAUUCAAGCCAAGUUCAAAUAAACAUACGGUUAAUUACGUAACAAAAUCAAAAUUUUAAAGCUUCGCGUGCGCGGGUGGUAAGGUACUUUAGUAAGUUGCCUUCUAUUGCAAGUUAAUUUUAUCUUAAAUGGCACGUAAAUAAGCUAUAGUCUAACAAAUUAUGCCGUUCAGAAAACCCCAACCUCAAAUUAAUCCCAACUCUUAAGGGCCUAUUUAUUUAACCAGAAAUGAAGUUCAACUUGAAGUAAACUUUCGAAUGAACUAGAGUUAUAUUUUCGUUGUUUAUUUGUAUAGUUGUUAUUUAUUUGGUAGAUGAGAGAUGAAUUAAUAUUUUAUUUAUUUUUUUUUACUUUUGGGGGGGUAACUGAUUCUCAACUAUAGUAUUUUAAAAAUUUAGAAUUUUUAUUUAAAGAUAAAAUUACAGUGAACUAAAUAAUAGAAAUAAAUAUCUAUGAUCAAAAAUUAAUUUGUCAUUUAUUUACUUUCGGUAAAACAAACACACGGCAAAUCGAACUUGAAUACCUCACAAAUAGAGCUAAAGUGAUUUGAUGUUUAUUUCAAAACACAAACAAAAGAAUAUGGCACACUAAAUAAAGGACAAAACUUAUGUACCAAGUUAGUGAGUGAGGGACAACUCAAAGCUUUGGAAGCAUUAAGAUUAGUAAAAAUAGUAUAUUGUAAAGCUUACAUCAUGAUUUGGUUUCACAAUUAUGAUGUGUAACUAAUCUAUUGAAAAUAUCACCCACAAAAUAAGGAGAGUAUGAAUAAAAAUAUGAGAUGAUUGGAUGGUUGAGUGGCAAAUUGGAAACCAAAGGCAUUUAAUAAAACUGUAAUAUUUAUGUUUAUAAUUAUAAUAAUAAUAAUAAUAAUAAUAAUGAGGGUGGGUGGGGGACAGUGGAAAGUUAGAUGUGUGGAUAAAUGGUUCUCAAUAUCAUAUAUUUUUAAUUUUCAUGUUAACAAUAAGGUAGGAUGGGAGAGAGGAGAAAUAAUUAUUUUAAAUUAAGUGUUUAUAGUGUACUAGCAUAGUAAUUUGUUCGAUACAAUAGAUAGAUAAUUUGAAUACAAAUAAAAAACUACAACAAAGAAAGAGGAAAUAGCGAUGAAAGAAGGGACGAUAAAGGGUGAGAUUAAUCAUGCUGAUAACAGCCGAAAGAAGUGGAAGAGAAACAGCUCAAUCCAAUGAAGAGGUGUGACUCAUUUCGGUUCAAACAAAAAAAGAAAAAAAAUUGGUUUGAUUCAAACAAAGAAAAGAAAAAAAAUGAUUUGAUUCAAGCAAAGAAAAGAAAAAAUAUGUAAAGGACUUGAGUCGGUUCGAAAGAGCCCACAUUGAAUAAUGAAUAGUUUGGUUCAAAUACGAUUCGAUUCAAGCCAAAAAAAGAAAAAUAUGUAGAGAACUUAAGUCUGUUUAAUAUGGAGCUCACACAUAACAGUAAAGAAAAUAUUGCUAUGUGACAAAUUUAGAAAGAAUAAUGUACGUAUAGAUAUAGAUAUAGAUAAAUAGGUAUAAGAUAAAUAAAAAUAAAUAUUUUUAAAAUAUUAGUUUAAUACUAAAUUAUAAUUUUGUACUUGAUUAAACUCUUUACUAUUACACAUGUUAUAAUAGUAUUAGUUUGAGACAUAUAUUUUAUGCAACAUAAUUAUCACAAAAAAGAUUUAAGGAUCAAUUACAAUUUGGGUAAGUAUGUGUUAGAGACUCAAUUGAAAACCUAAGUAGUAGGUUAGGGACACUUAUGCACAGUAAUGUAUUUAUUGCAGAUCCUUAUAUGAAUUUUAUUAUGCCUACACACAGUUGCAUAAAGUUAUGAAUCAUAAAAUUCAAAAGGUGAAAAAAAAUGUGCGUGCGUAAUUCGAAAGUCAUAGGAUUCUUGUUAUAACUUUUUUCUACAACCCAAAUUUCAAGGCUAGCGAUGAAAAUGGAUUCAGAUUGCAAUUGAUGGAACUCUUCGCUUUGAUCCGUUUUGAAUGGGACGGUAAGUGGGAGGCUAAAAAUAAAUUUAAAAUAGAUCAUUUCAAAUUCAUCCUAAUGUUUCAAGAAAAGAAAGCGAAAAGUGAAAGAAUCCUCCCCUUCUGUGAUCCGUCCUAAUCAACUAAAAAUUGCCAAUAACCAGCUCGAUCUCUACCCCCGAGACAUUGGAUUUUCACUAUUCGACUCUUUCGCGGGUAAGAACAAAGUUGUUACACCAUAUAGCGCCUUCUAAUGCUUUUCAGGACAAGAUCUAAAGCUCUCUACAUAUAAGAGAAUCACUCAUGAAAUAACACUCUUGACUCUUGAUCAAGAUCUUGUUUUCUAAACUGCUUCAUUCUCAGCGUGGCUGGAGAUCGGUCAUUCGAUCAGAUUCUUUUGAAAAAUCAUACGUGGAGGUAUCCUUGCAUGCAGCUCAUGCUAUUUGAGGUGCAUCUCGAAUUAUUGAGAUUGGUAAUCGACCGAAAGCAAUUUGAUUAUAAUUCAAUUCGUGUCGAUCAUAAAUUGAAAUUCAUAUUCUUCUAACCUAACUAAGGCAAUAUCCCACGUAAUGCACACUAGGAAGAUGGGCCCCCAUGACAUGCCCAUGUCUGGCCCGCGAAGCCCGUGGUACGGGCCGAUUAGAGUUCGUGGGCCGGACUUCAAACUUGUGAAAUCAUAUCAUAAUUUUAUUAAAUGGUAUGGAAGCAAAUCUUAUGUAUGUAUAAUGCAAUGAUCUGACCUGCUAACAAUAAUAUCUCGUUAGUCAAAAUACUUAAGUCUAAUUAUUAUUAUUAGGAUCCAUAUUCAGUUCCACAUUCUCGUUAAUCCAAUCACACACAUAGCUCAAGCCCACCUCACACAUCCGAUUGUUGAACUGGCUUUGAUGUCAUAUUGUAAUGACCCGGUGCGCUAGCAAUAAUAAACUCAAAUUCUUAACGUCAGUUAUUAUUACUAGGUUCACGAUCGCUUAUUUUCAUAAUCACAAUUUCGUUUUCAUUUGAUGUGGGACUGUUGGAGUUUCACAUAUAGCUCGGUCAGGCAUGAAGGAGCUAAACCCAAGCUCGGCUUUUCAUUUUUAUUUGAUGUGGAACUAUUGAGGUUUCACAUAAGUAGAAAUGUCAACGGGUCGGAUUCGGGACGGAUUUUCAAAAACCCGAACCCGAACCCGACUCCAAACCCAAGACCCAAACCCGAAUCCGAACCCGACGGAUUUUAAAAAUCUAUAUCCAAAUCCGAAACCGACUAAAAAUCUGAAACUCGAACCCGAAACAAUUAUUUCUUUUUUCAAUAUUUCAAAAUAUAUUAUAUUAAAUCUAAAUUUUUAAAAUACAAAUUCAAAUAUAACAUCAAAUUUAUAUAUAUAUAUAUUAUAUAUAAUGCAAAAUAAAUUCGGAUUCGGGUUCGGGUUCGGGUUCGGGUCGGGUAUAGUCAAAAUCCAUAUCCAAAUCUAUAUCUGUCGGGUUUCUAUUUUUGAUAUUCAUAUCCGAAUCCAUAUCCAUUUAGCAUCGGAUAUAUCCGCUCUAUUCGGGUUCGGGUUCGGGUUCGGGUCGGGUAUAGUCAAAAUCCAUAUCCAAAUCUAUAUCUGUCGGGUUUCUAUUUUUGAUAUUCAUAUCCGAAUCCAUAUCCAUUUAGCAUCGGAUAUAUCCGCUCUAUUCGGGUUCGGGUUCGGGUUCGGAUAAAAUUUCGGGUAUCCAUACCCAUUGACAUCCCUACACAUAAGCUUGGCUUUUUUUUCGAGAGAGAGAGAGAGAGAGAAAGUAAGCAUGCUACCCGCUUCACUUAUAUUUUUUAGAAAUAAAAUUAAAUGAAUAUGUGAAGUAACUAGACUAUGAAAUUGGGAUUUCGGGUAUUAACCAGUAAGCUCUUUGCCAUUUGCGCUAAGGAUGGUCUGUUUAAUGUUACGGAAGGGACCCGACAAGUACGACCCGGAUUUGAAAAAACGAAGCCCAAGUCCGCCCGUUAAGGUCCGGACUCAAACUGUAUUAUUCUAAAAAAGGGUUAUUUGCAUACACGUCCCUACAAACAUAGUGAAUUGCGGAAAUAUCCCUGCAAAACGGAAACUCCAUAAGUUGUCCCUGCAAAAGUCCUAAGUUAUGCAGAUAUGUCCCUACCGUCCAGAUCUGUUAGAAAAUUUUCGUUAACCACGGUUAAAAUACUUAACCAUGGUUAAGUAUAGUGUGAAUUGACGUAUUUACCCUUCUUCCUCUUCCUCCUCUUCCUCUUCCUUCUUCUUCGUCGCCGGCGAGGAGAUGCGGCGGCGACGGUGGCGAACCCUCUUCAUUUUCCUCUUACCUCUUCCUCUUCUCCCUUUUUCUCCUUCCUUCUUUCUUCUUCCUCUUCCCUCUUCUUCGUCACCGGCGAGGGAGAAGAAUCUCGUCGGGGUCGGUCUCGGAGGAAAGGCGGGCGAGUUUCUAGACGAAAAGCUCGAGGGCGUUGUUGUCGACGAGGGCGGCGACGAGGGCGUGUGCGGGGUCGUCGUGGUCACCGAGGACGUCGGCGUCGGUGAGGUCGGUGAGGAGGGAGACGACGUCGCCGGCGAUGUCGGCGAUGUUGUGGCCGAGGAGGCCGACGAGGGAGGGGACGGCGUUGAGGGCGACGAGCUCCGGGUAGAGCUCCGGUGCUCGGCGUUCUUGCCUCUUCUUCGUCGCCGGCGAACCUGACCCCGCGCCGCCGCCGCCGCCGUCGUCUGCUUCGAUGGUCCGAAAAGGAAAAGAAAGAGAAGGGGAAGAAGAAAACUUUUGGAGGGAUAUAUUUGUGAGGGUAAAAUGGUCAUUUCACGACUUCGCUGUUAAAAAACAAACAGCUCACUAACAGAUGUUAACUGCAGGGACAUAUCUGCAUAACUUGAGACUUUUGCAGGGACAACUUAUGGAGUUUCGAUUUUGUAGGGAUAUAUCCGCAAUUGGCUAUGUUUGCAGGGAGCUGUAUGCAUUUGACCCUAUUCUAAAAUGGCUCGGCACGACACGGCCCAAUUACUUGACCAGAUAAUAAAACUUUUCUCCCUUUUUUUUUUUUGUGCCUUUUGGAUUUCUCUUUUUUGCCUCUCUAACUUAUGUACUUUUAUAUAUAUAUAUAUAUAUAUAUACAUAAAUUGCAUGUUUGGUUCUUAAAUUAUGAAGGAGGCAGCGAUUUGGUCUUUAAAUUUUAAUCUGUUAUAAUUUCUGACUUAAUUGAUCUUUCAGAAUUAUUGUAAUCAGAUCUUAGACCCAAUUUAGCUGUAUCGAUAUUUAGUCAACUAAACUGAGUUGUGUGAAUUGAUUGCAAUAAUUCAAAAAGUUCGAGUCAGAAAUUAUAAUAAAUUAAAGUUUGAUGACCAAAAUGUCAUCCGCCUUAUAGUUUGAGACCAAAUUAAAUGUGCAAUUUACCCCAUUUUUUUAACAUUUUAAACGCAUAUUUUAUAGUUUGAGACCAAAUUUUAUUUGUCAUAAAAUUAAAACAUGUGCACGCACGUACGGUCACGCGCAUGCGAAAAAUACAAGAAUUUAAUCUAGCAUGCAUAAAGAAGGCAAUUAAAGCAAGACAAUAAGUCAAUAACUAAGUACAAAUAUUAAUAAAAAAACUAUAAUUGUUCAUUUUUUUGUUUAUUUUAAUUAAAUAAAAUGGUUUCAAUGCAUUGAACACUUUAUUUUAAUGAUAAAAUAUCCGAAUCGAUGAUCUGCAUUAUUUAACACGCUUUAGGAUACGUGACCUUUCCUGGAUCCAAAUUUCAUAAUUUUCGAAAUUCAUAUUCUAGUUCACCAUAUGGUGCACGCGAGGCUUUGGAGCGCGUGGAGUAGAGAUCGGAUAGGUGAAGGAGAAGGAGGAGAGAGGAGGAAGAGGUGGAGGAGAGAUCGAGGAGGAAGAGGUGGAGGAGAGGGGAGAGCUCGAUCGAGGUCGAGCUCCGCGUCGGAGGAGGGGGCGCGAAUGGGGUGGGGGGCGAAUAGGGUUAGGGUGGGAGAUACGCUCGUGUGAGCCCAAUCGGGGGCUGCGUUGGGUUCGAAUUAGAUUUAGGGUUAGGAUUAUAUUGCUCAAAUAAAUAUAUUUAAUAUAAAAUUAACAGCUAUUUAAAAUAAUUGCCGCUAAAACAUAAGUUAUAAAAAGAAUUAACGGCCGUUCGAUAAUCGCCGCUACUAAAUUGCCGCUAAAAGAUGAUUUUGUUGUAGUGCAUGUAGUUACGAAUGAGUGGUCAAAAUUGUACAACUUUCUCAUUAGAAGUUAAGUAUAGGAUUCUUAAUUAACCUUAAGAUCAUGAUUGUAGAACUUAAUUAGUCUAGUUAGCUUAAAAAAUUUCUACGAAAAGUACAAAAAAUUAAACUACCCAUAUUAGUCGCUAAAAUUAAUUGUCAUUUUAGAAUCCAAUUCCUAGGAAGUUUAGAUAUCUUAAAUCAUGUUUAACAGAGCUAAUCAUUAAUUUCAAUAUCGUAUUAUUAUAUAUAUUUUUCAGUAAUUUUGCUUCCGGAAAUAUUCGAGCUCCAAUUGUGUUCACUUAGACUAAAUUUUAAGUAAGUUUAUUAGCAUAGAGGUUAGUGAAAUCUCAUUAUGUUCAAAUUUUAAUAUCAAUCCUUAGAAAAAUAAUUAAAAAGGAAAUUUUUAUAAAGGAAAAAACCCUAUUAAUUGAUAGAACAAGGGCAAAGAGUCCACAAAUAACUAAGAUUCCAAAAUAUUAUAAACCAAUAGUGUUUGCACAUUAAGUAGAAUAUAUUGUAACUAUUAACUCUAAAAUUCCUUAAGUUACAGGUAUAUAUAAAGUAUGUACCAUAUUUGAUAAUUAAUUAUGUUCACUUAUAUUCAAAUUUUUUUUUAAAACAAAUUUAAUUAAGUCCUCACGUGGUCUUAAUUAACUUAAUUACCAAACAGCUGUUAUUCUCAAAACAAGUUAUUAAAAGCCUUUAAUUUGAUAAGCUACUAACUAACACUUGCUUAAUUAUGAGGCAUCUAAUUAAACAGAUUAUUACUGAUCUACUUGAUCCCCCCCAAAAAACACACACAUCAUCAAUAAAAAUACUAUUUAUCCUCCCUAGAACAUGUCGCGCACUCACGUCGAUCGUAAUCAUAUGAUUUUUGCACUAAUCUAAUCAUGUAAACAACAAAAUUAAGCAUGAUUAGGAUCUCGGAGAUAAGUGAAUAAACAAUAGUUGUUUCUUCAAAAGGUGUUAUGUAGAUUUACGACAAGGAGAUUAAGAUAAACAUUAUCCGAUAAUGGCUCAACGAGACGCGUGUGCGAUGUCCAUUGAGUGUAUAGCUACAUAUGUUGGAACAGUUUGUGAUAAAGGUAUGAAAUAGAAAAAUUAAAAGGCUUCAAGGGCGUGUAGCAAUGCCAUUUUCCUUAAGGCUUAAUCCGUCCCCACCGUUCUAACAAUUUGGUGUGCACCGGGUCAACGAACAACCUCCCAGGAUACAAUGAAGCGUAAACCUCAACUGCGUUUGCACACACGAAGUCGAGCCUUUGAGCACUCACUCGAUUAAGUUGUCAAAAGAAAUAGAAUAUAAAACAAGAAUGGAAUUAUUAUGAAUGAAGACUUCAACUCUUCAACUGUUUUCUGUCUGUCUCCUUCUGCAACCAAUGCUAUGGACUUAUAUAGGCCACGAACGGGUGCUUCAUGAAGUGACUAUUCGCGAAAGGGUGUUUCGUGAAGUGACCUUUCGAUUGUGACUUUUCAUUUGAUCAUAACUACCAAAUAGUUAUAUGAAUCAAGUUCAAUGAAUAUAACCAUUGAUUCCAACGGGCAUAUGUACGAAAAGACACACUAUAAAGAUGUGUCUUUUCAUAUCAUAUUCUUUCACUAAAAGUCACAUCCUUUCACUCUAAGAGUCAUACCCUUUGAUUAGAGUUGCAUCCACUCACUAAGGGUUGCAUCCAUUCACUAAGAGUUGCAUCCAUUCACUAAGGAUUGCAUUCUUUCACGAAGAAUCACAUCCAUUCACUAAAAACAAUAAACAAAAUAUAUUAUUUUAAAAUUUUCCUUACAACAUAAACAAUGUAACGUCGAUUAAAUUCAACAAAAAUGUCAUACAUUAAGCUAAAUUUUACUAGUAUUCAAAGAAGUUGGGUAUUUGUUAUAUUAAGAAGCUUGGUUUUUCUUGCUUAGCAUUUUAUAUAUUUGUGACAAAUGAGAUAUUAUUUCGUGUCAUUUGUGCAAAUAUAAUAGAAAAUCAUUUUGGAAUAUAACAAGAUUAGUUUGUACAUAAAUGGUCCUCUCCUUUCAUAAAUUAGUCGCCAUGCGCUACUAAUCGUCUAUAAACAACAUUGCAUGUAGGUAAUGCGAAGGUAAUUAAUUAAUGAUUUGAUAAUCUUCCUAGAAUUAGGAAAUCAUGGGCCUUUGUACUUGAGCUUAUGCAGCAGUGCUAUUUAAAGAAGCUUCAACAAAUUCAUCGUAAAAUUGGUAACAACAACAUAACAAAAUCCUCAAAUUGAAGGUUCGAUAUUAAUUUAGAGCCCUUCAAGCUCAUUUGAGCUUCUUGAUAUAUAUUUUAUUUGCUAAAUACUUGUAAAUUGCUUUUCGAGUAGAGAAGCUGAUCAUUCUAAAGCCCAGGCCAUAUAAGCGAUCAAGCACUUCUAUAGGUAGUGCUUAUAUAUUGAUUAAGGCUUCUUUUGGGAUUGAGGGGAGAUUACGUUACGUGUAAUGAGAAAGUAUGAUGGAAAAAUAUCCUGUUUGUUUCCGUACAUAAUAUUACGUUCCGUAUAUUGCGAUAAGUCGGUUAUAAUUAAUAUAUUUUCUGCGGUCCCAUCAGAGAACGCAGAAGUAUAUCCCUAUAUACUUUUGCCCUAACUCCAUUUUAUCUAAUAGCGUCAGAUAAAUCUCAAUACCAAACUAAGCCUAAUUCCUGCAAAGAAAAGCAAAACAUAUAUAGUAUAAGCUAAAUAACACCUCAAACAUGAAUUCUAUUUGAAAUAUUCCUUAAUUUCCUAAUAUAAAAAUUCUUAAACUACCUAUCUAAAAGUAGGGUUCCACCUAGAAUGGAUGCUACAAAUGAUACGAGGAUUAGUUAUGAGGAAUUAGUUAAUAAGGAGGUCACAUUUUAGCUGUGAUCCUAUAUAUGAGCUAGGAGUACACUAAAGUAAAAUUAAUGCAUUAUAAAAGAGCAGUUCAAAUAAAGACAAAAACAACCUUGAUCAGAUAUAUAACUAUUCAAGUAGUUAAUUUGGAUCAUUGACAUCUGAUUAGUAAUUAAACUUAUCAUUAGUGAUCUUAUUUAUGGCUAAAGUAGCACUUAGUCCAACUCACAAUGGUUCGGGUUACAGCUAAUUAAGAUGUUGUUAGGCAUAUUAAUUACAUUAUUUCAGGCUCUGUACAUAUACUUAAUAUUAAAGUUUUUGGGUUCUAUUACUCAUGCUCAUUCUCCUUAUGGUUUUUAUUUAUCUAGUUAUUACAAGAGUUAAAAAAAAAAAAGAAAAAAAUCUAAGAUAUCUGUUAUGACGAGCACACAAAUAAAAAUGAGAAAUGACAAUUGCGAAAUACAAACCACAAAAACAAUAAAAACGAACAUAAAAAUUUACGUGGAAAAUUUUUUUGCAGAAAAAAAAAAACACGGACGAAAGAUGAGAGAACUUCACAAUAAAAAAGGGAGUACAAAGUAGUGAGAUUACAAUACACCUUAUCACGUGUAGGACAAAAACGAAGAAAAAAAUUUCUUAAUGGAUUUCUUUAUUAUCAAACCCCUUCACAAAUUCUUUCAUUAAAAUUUGUCGUACCACAAUUCUGUCAACAAAUCAGAGGCACAAAAUCAAAGUCAAUAAUCAAAUUUCGAAGCACAUCUAAUAAUAACACAUGAUAGAGUGCGUCUCGAAUGCUUCUGGAAGUACGGAGCGCUCCGUGCUUCCAAAUUAUUUUCGAUGUUCAGACUUUCGAAUCGACGAUCGGCUCCAUUAGACUUGAUCUAGAGCAUUUGAAGUACCUAGAAAAUAAAUUUUGCGAUUUUUCGAUAUCAUUUGCCUAGUGAUCGAAGAGGCUCAAAAUCAACGGCUGAAAAUAAAAAUCUUACAAAAUAUGAUGAUAUGAUAUUAAAAUUUUAGAUCAAAGUUAUUGAUCUUGUUUUAUAUGGUAUAAAAAAUUUUCUAUCAAAAUUUCAUGUGAUUUGGAUAUUUCUACACCGUUAAACUUGCAAACGGCUCACCACAGCCAUUAAAAUUAUUGAUUUUGAGCCCCUUCGAUCACUAGGCAAAUGAUAUCGAAAAAUCACAAAAUUUAUUUUCUAGGUACUUCAAAUACUCUAGAUCAACUCUAACGGAGCCGAUCGUCGAUUUGAAAGUCCGAACAUCGAAAACAACUUGGAAGCACGGAGGGCUCCGUGCUUUCAGAAGCAUGCCAGCCCACUCACACAUGAUAUAUAUUAUGUCCCUUCUAUGAUAUAUCAACAAAUAGGCUGAAUUAUAGAUCCACUACAACAAAAUUAGGUUAUAGGGACACAUGUUUGGAAUACUUUUGUGUAAGUGUCUUAUUUAUGUCAAAACUUUAAAAAAAAUCUACUAAUGUCUAAAUAUAAAGCCCAAUCCAACUAAGAAUAAAAGGUUACUCUACUCAACCCACCUCAACCAGCCCAUUCGGCCUGAUAACAAGCAGAAAAAAAAAGAAGAAAAAUCGAUUACCAUCUCUCCUUCUCCCCUCACUCAAUCCACUGAAAUUCUAGACGAAGAGCCCUUUCCUCUCUUCCUCCUCCUCCGCUACCGCAGCCAAAAAAGUAGAGUACCGGCGGUUGCUAAAUGCUUAAAUAAGUGUUGAUAAAUUAGCAGCACUCUUUUAGAUUAUACCGACACUCUUUAAUUGUCACUAUAUACCUACCGACCCCACAUAUAGCAACACUUUUUAAAAGUGUCGGUAACUUAGCCAGCAACACUUUUUUUUUAUCUGUAUCGAUACUUAAAAGCGUCGCUAUACACCGUUUUUGUUGUAGUGAGAAAACCUCAUUAUAAAUACUUUUUUUUUAAUUUUUCUCCCCAACUUUCAAAAACUUAUAUUUUACCCCCUCAACAUUUUAAGUUAUUGCAUUUAAUCCCCCUUCGUCAUGGUUUCAUCACUAUUCCGUCAAUUUCUUAUAAUUUAUAUCGAAAAUACCAUUCAAAAUGAUAGAAAUAAAUUAAAAAAAAAAAAUUUAAUAAAAGAAAUAAGAAUAAUUUGGUCACUUUACACCCUCCAAUAAUGCCUUACUCCCCUGAAAAUAUUUAUGAAAUUUUAAGAGAGUAAAAUAUAGGUUUUCAAAAGUCAGAAAAAAAAAGUAAAAAUAAAACUGAUUUUUUGUAAUUUAACCUAACAAAUAUGUUAUAUGUCUAAUUGUUUUUAAUGUUGUUCCUACAUAGGAACACACUCUAAAUUAGAAGUGCAAUUAUACAUAUAUCCUUCAAUUGUGCGUGUGCUUGUGCAUGCAUACGCGUGGUUUUCGUGUGUUUGCGCGCGCAUGUAUGCAUGAUUGCACGUAAUUGUGCGCGUGUAUGCACGUGUUCGCGCGUGUGCAUGUACCCAUGUGUAUUGAGUGGUCACACUCCUCUAAUGGGUGAUUUUAAGAAGCACUAAUAAACGUAUUAAUCUCUUCAUGUGAAGGAGGAGGGAGCUCAAAUUAAUGAGAGUAUUUUCUAAUUAUACACAUAUCUAGUAGCCUAGUUCAUAUAUAUUUAUAUAUAGAGUGAGAGAGUUCACUUAGGAUCGAUACUAUUAAUAGUACAUGCUAUUUACCUUUUUAUUCUUAUAUCAUUCUAUAUAUUACGCUAAUCACGCACUCAACUCUAAGCGUCCAAUGAUCAGAAAGUGAAUAGUAUCGUACUAUUAAUAGUAUUCAAACACAUACAUAUCUCUCUCUUUCUUAGUGUUAAUUUAAUUUGCAAGCUUUUACAAGAUUUUAAUCCACAAUGGAUAGGGAUAGCAACAGGGCGGGGCGGGGACAGGAUCGAUCCUUCCUUGUCCCUCUCCCCACGGGCUUUUACGAUUCUUGUCUCUCCACCAUAAAUUCCACGGGCUUUUACGAUCUUUGUCCCCGUCCCCGUCCCCAUCCCCGUCCCCGUCCCUGUCCUCAUGGGAAUCCCCAUAGUACAGUUAUGCCAUGGAUUUUAAAAAAUAUACUAGAUUAUUUUUAUUUAGAAUUAAAUUAAAUUAAAUUUUAAUUUAAAUGAUCAGUUUAACUUUUAUCCCAUUAUCAUGUUUUUUUCAGUCAUCAUCAAAUUAUUAAGUAUGAAAUUUCAAGUUACUAAAAACGUAUAACAUGUCGGAUCGUUGGCGAUAAUCAUUAAUCCCAAAAGCUCAAACUGUUAGAAAUACGCAACUAAUUCAUUCAAAGUGUAUAGAUACAGCGCUCACGGAUCUCAAUUGUGACUUGGCAUAAUCAGUCUCACACUACUUCGAACGUGACUCGGUUCACCCAGCCUCACGUCAUUUCGAAUAUGACUCGGCCCAACAUGACCUUCCGCCACAAAGCAGAAUGCUGGCCCAUUUAAGCCAACAUAACAAUCAAACAUUAUUUAAUUAAUAUAUUGUAUAAAAGAAUUAAAUAUAUUUAAAAUAUUUGAUUAAAUUAGUUAGAAAUAUAUUAAAGACAUCUAAGUUAGCAUCUUAUAUUUACAAAUAAAUUAACAACUAUUUAAUAAUAUGUUAUAUUAUUUUGUGAGAAUCAGCAAUUUUGCGGGGCUGAGAGUAGUAUCCCCACUCCAUUCGGAGCGGAUCGAUCCCCGCUGUGGUGGAAAUUGCCAUCCCUAACAUAUUAUUCGACACUAUCUGCUUACAAAUUAUGAAAAAGUAUUCAUGUUGCUAAUGAGAAAUCCUUCACUUAUGUAUCAAAUUAGCAUAAAAUGAAAGGCAUCAACAGUACCUGUAAUAUUCAAGCUUUCCUACAUAUGAACAUAUGCAAUAAAAUGCCGAAAUUAAUAUGGAAAUUGAAUAUAGUACAUCUAGGAUCAAAUUAUCUGAUCAAGUUUACAUAACAUAGAUCGAUCAAGUCUAACAGUGUCAAUCAUCGAUUCAGAUGCAUUAUCGCUAAAAAUGAUGUGUUAAGUACGCACGACACCCCUAAAUGUAUUCCAACCCUACUCACAUAAAACAUGUAUUCGCUUUUACAACUUUUCUUAUACAAGUAGUAAUGCGACCGAAAUAAGAUGGUUGGGAACUUGUAAGUGAAAUUCCUGAUAUUGGAUUCAAAUUUGUGGUUGCAGCUUUAAAAACCAUGAAAACAUAAAAAUAAAAAAAAAACCAGCAUAAGUACCUGUUAAUAGAUAUAUGCAAAAGGGUUUUGAGUCACUUAAAUUUAUCAUUGACAAAUUUAGCGAUUCAUCGAAUCCAGUCACUACUCAUUAACUUAAAUUUGAUCAGAGUCAAUGAAUAUCAUCUGUCUUAGUAAAAAAUAUAACUCUUAUGUACCUCUUUGGAGACGAUAAAUGUAAGUAGAAAAGGAAUGAGACAUAGUGCUAAUCAUUAUUAACUGAUGCAUGUGUUUCUAAUCCCUAGUUGGGAAUCUACAAAUAUUGGUUAUUGUUUGGAUAUAACAGAUUAAUUUUGUAUUUUCUAAAACACAUAUCACGAAAAUCAUGCUACUUUACUAAUUGAGAGAAACAUCGAACUCGCUCAUGUUCACAUGACACACAUGACCAGAUCUAACAUACCUGCUCUUCGAAUAGCGAGCUUAGCUUAGUUAUAGAUCAACAAAUUACAUGCAAUGUUUUUUUUUCCUCUCGAUCACAAACAUACGAGUGUAAGUACGAUAACUCCGAAAAGAACACUACUAUGCCCGCAAAAUUUGACACUUGCAUGAAACAAGCGAUCAAGCAGCGUGAUUUAAUUAGGGUUUAGUGUAUAUGAAUUAAGGGUUCGAUGCAAUUCAUGGUGAUCAAAGCCAAAAGCCACAAACAGUCGAUGCGAGCGUUAAGUGUUGUCGCAUAGUGUUUUACCCUCCAAAAAUAAAGUAAUUUUCAUCUCUAAGCACUUAACUAACAUGGUCUAAGUCACAAUUAAUGCUGUAUCUUUCUUAAUAUAUGAUGUGUCUUUAUUUUAGAUGGCCUAUUAUAUAAUCUCUCUCUCUCCCUCUCUCUCUCUCUCUCUCUCAUGAGGUUAUAGUCUAACAAGCAUGUAAUUAAAACUAUGUAUGCAAUAAAUGCAUCCUAGGGUUUCUGAAGAAGCAAUGCAACUGAGAUCUGCUUCUACAACUCUUACCAUUCCAAAUGUUGUGAUGACAAAGUAGGAUAAAAUAAAAUAAAACCAAGUGCAUUAAAUGCCUAACUAGUAUAUUGUCUCUUUACUUCAUGAGAUAAGCUUUGAAGGCCCACGUGCAUGAUGUUCUAGUGAGAGAGAGAGAGAGAGAGAGAGAGAGAGAGAGAGAAAGCAAGGAAGCAAAGGGAACGGCGUAUUUCUCGCAUUCUCCCACGUCGAAGAUUCCUACAAAUUAUUAGGAGUGGUUUAAUUACUUUUCUCUCUCUCUCUCUCUCUCUCUCUCUCUCUCUCUCUCUCUCUCUCUAUAUAUAUAUACACAUUCAUUUAUGCGAGCUAACAACUACUCAAAAAAACCGACCGUCCCUGGAGCAAGUGGUAAAGGCUUUGGUAGUUGAUACCCGAAAUCCAAAUUCGAAUCUAGUUGAUUCACAUUUCUAGCUAAGUUUAUUUCUAAGGCUUAGUUUAGUAUUAAGGUCUAUCUAACGCUAUUAGAUAAAAUAGAGUUGAGAAAAAAGCAUAUAGGGAUAUGCUUCUGCGUUCUCCGGUGGGACCGCAGAAAAUAUAUCGUAACCGACUCAUCGCGAUAUGCGGAACGCAAUAUUACGUACGGAACCAAACAAGAUAUUUUCCCAUCGUCCUUUCUCACCGCACGUAACGCAAUCUCCCCGCAAAAGCAAACGAAGCAAACGAAGCGGAUAGCGUGCUACCCAUCUCUUAAAAACAAAAAAACAAAAAAAAAAAACUACUUCUCAAAAAAGUAAAAAAAUAAAUGCUUUGUAAA